RNAcentral lists this long non-coding RNA (81635 nucleotides) under Brachypodium distachyon (stiff brome). RNAcentral describes it as "long non-coding RNA (BDIS_LNC002466)". The stretch from base 29942 to 30066 matches the Rfam family "MIR1120/MIR1122 microRNA precursor family". Lineage: Eukaryota; Viridiplantae; Streptophyta; Magnoliopsida; Poales; Poaceae. The record is from RNAcentral.
UUCUUGACAAGUGUGGGCACUGUGUAUUUCGCAACAAACUUUACAAAGAAAAAUGAUUUCAUAUAUAACACAUGCUCAUGAUAAUGCAAUCCAUGUACAUGUACGAACAAACCCCACAACAAAUAAAAUGAUCUCUUUCGAUACAAAAAAAAAUGAAAAACUCAACUAAAAGUCUCCAAUUCUGAAUGCAAGUACUGACAGGGACACACACACACACAUCCCUUGUUCUUCUUAACCCAAGCUCUGUAGCGUUUGGAAUACCAUUGGCACUAUCACCUGGAGGGUGCAGACUUGGAAUUUAUCACUUUCUAUUCAAAAUAAAGAACUUUCUCCUCCAGAUUCUUCAUCGUCUAUUCUUCCUAUAGUUGCACACUCAUGUUUAGAGUAAUUAGAAAUCAGGUAAUCAAAUAAGGGACUGGAUAAGAAGAAAAAUAAAAUCUGAUAACAGAUCUGAAGCCAAAACCAAUUAGCGGAUUACUGUAGGAUAAAAAUGCAUAAUCUGAGAAAUGAGGGAAGAGUAAAGAAAAUGCACACUUGCCAAGCAUUGCUUGAGAGAAUGAAAGUGUGACAUAAUGAGGUGCAUCACAUGUUAAACCUAUUCGCAUAAAAAUGCAUAAUCUGAGAAAUGAGGGAAGAGUACAGAAAAUGCACACCUGCCAAGCAUUGCUUGAGAGAAUGAAAGUGUGACACAAUGAGGUACAUCACAUGUUAAACCUAUUCGCCAUCAUGGCAUCACUGCAUCUGCAAAUGCUCGCAAAAAAUAAAUUUGAAGAACAUGUUGUUUAGUCCACGGAUCCAUAAGAUUUGUCACUUCUUGUUCAGAAAGAGUUCUGUAAUUUAAGCGUUACAUGGGAUCCUUUUAAGUCCAAGAGAAUCAGAGGAAUCUUAUAUUGUUGAUUUAUAUUCACGAAAUGCAGGUAGUCAGUAUGACUUGUAUUGUAUUUAUCUCAGUUGAAAAUAUGUUGUAUUUAUAUCAGUUGAGAAUUAAAGUAUCUCAGCUUUGCUUAGCUCCGUGACCUGUCAUGAACAAACUGGACAGUGAUUAACAACCUAGCAAAGAAGAUACAGGAUGACUUUCCAACUCCAAAUAGAUCAAGAAAAGUAGAGACUUACAAAGCUUUAAAUGCAGGCCUGAGAGCAGCCAUUUCGCAUAUACAACAUACUGAAACAAAACAAAUAUAAAUGUUGAAUUGCAAGUUCUCUAUCUAGGUUCAGAAAAGUGAUUUCGCAUACAUACCUAGAGACUAAAUGUCAGAUUUGCUACCAUAUGGCAUAUCAGCAAGACGUUUUGAGCACAUGUAACUUGGUGUUCCUCCCACCUGGUGUUGAGGUCAAAACACCAUCGAACAUGUACAAGAAAGAGAACAAAUGUUUUACUUCCUUCAUUUCACAAAGGUUGGCGUAUUUUGUUUCGUCAAGACAAGGCUUUGACCAAUGAAAACUCUAUUGAUAUGUAUUUUUUUCAUAUAUGAAAUUUAUAUCAAUGGAUUCGUUUUAAAAAGUUCUUGCUAAUGAUUAGGGUUUCGUAUCAUAUAACUUACAUGUUAAUACAGUAAUUCUUAGUGAAAGGCUUGUCUUAACGAAACGAAAUACACCAACCUUUGUGAAAUGGAGGGAGUAGUACUCACGGAAGAUGCCAGAUCAUCAGAACUCAAUAUUUUUUGCAAGCCUAAAGUCACCAGCAUUUUUUAUGUUAGAAUUGCAAUCAUUAUCAGGAUUGCUGAACUCAUACAUAAAGCACUGUACUUUGUAAGGGACUAAGUUACAUACCAAGUCCUAUAGUUUGGCUCCUGGAAAUAAAAAUAUUGGAGCACUGAAACGAAUUAGCAGCUUCGGUGCACAUUAUUACAACAUGUUAGAAAGAUAAUCACAUGCUCCAAAUAUCGCACUGGUACUGACCUUCACAUCUCGAUGAAGAAUGUGAUUUCCAUGCAAGUAAUCAAGAGCCAUAAGGAGCUGUACAAGCCACCUGCCAUGUUUCUGCAAAAUCAGAAAACAGGCGUCUUUCUCAGCAGUACAAGCGUUAUUUUAUUUUAUUUCACAAAUAUAUUCCGUCGUCCUGAAAAACGAAGUACCAGCUUCCCUUUUCCUGAAAAAGCAACAGAUGUCAAUUGACUAAUUAAACUAAUACAUAAAUCCAUCUCAUCUCUAAUGGAAUAGAUCAGCAGCAAGCCAAAUGAUGGAAACAUGCUUCUAUAGUAUUUAUUCCAUCUUGAAACUGUAGAACACACAUGGAAAAGAAAUCAUUGCACUUACGCAAAUAAAAAACUACAACAGGAAGUGGUCUGAUCAACAUACAUUUCUCUAAAACUACAUUUAAAUGGGUGUGAAACAGUAAUGUGGUACAAACCUAAGGCAUUCAAAUAAAAAACUACAACAUGAAGUAGUAUUUAAAUUUGUAACAUAACUUGAAGAACAAACCUGCACACUACAUACCAACCAUGGAGAAAUUAAAGCAUGGAUUUGUUGGCAGUUGAAAUCUAGAAUGCUUGUAAACAGCCGGAAUAUCAAUUGGCAUUUCAGCAAACACGUGGUGGGUCUGUGAGCAAUUGAUGUGUUGAGAAAUGUCUUACCUGAAAUAUAGAAUGCUUGUGGACAACGAUCAAACAACGAUGCACCCAACGUGAAGACGACCAUGGUUGAUGCGUAGCUUCCCUGGCCGGGCACGCACUGCCCUGGGCAGGUGCGGAGACUCCCCUGUCCAUCAAGAUCAGGUGGCAGGGGAGAAGUGGAUAGCGGCGGCGUGCAGCAGAUCAGGUGGCAUGGUUGUGAUCGGAAUUUCUGGUCACGUGUGGGGGGAUCAGCGGCGGCGGCGGUGCCUCAUCGCGUGGCUCUAACGACGGCCACGGAUCGCAGGUGGAGGCGAGCGGAUGAGGCGGGCUGACGCGCGACAGAGGAGGGCCGCGGCCGGAGGGGAGGAGGCGGCAGCGCCUCGUCCCGUGGCCCUGACGGCGGCCGUGGAUCGUAGGUGGAGGCGAGCGGGCGAGGCGGGCUGAGGUGCGGCAGAGGAGGGCCGUGGAGGGGAGGAGGCGGCGGCGACCUCAGGGAAAGGGAAGGAGGACGGGGGGGUGGAGGGGAGUGAGGCUGCGGCUGCCGCAGGGGAAGGGAAGGAGGAGGCGGCAUUGGAGGCUGGAUGGGCGAGGAGAAAAGAAGGAAGAAAAUGGUUCGAAUGAGGGGGUGAAAGAUUCUCCUGCGGGGUGGAAUUUCAGCCUCAACAGGUAAUCACUAAACACACACGGUUAGGUAGUAAUCUGGUGUUUAGAGAGUCUGAUUGUGGAGCUAUUAAUACUUUGUGUUCGUUUAGUGGGGUGGACGUUGGAAAGAACAUGUUGGUGCCUUUAUAAGUAGUAGAGAUAUUUCGGUUGAACAAAUAGCACAAACUGAAAAUUUGGAGAGCCGGUUUCAACUACCACCAUCUGUCCUGCCAUAUGAACAAUUUAUCCAACUGAUAGAACUUGCCACCAAUAUGCAGCUUACAAAUGAGCAUGAUCAUUGGUCCUACACUUGGAAUAAGAAUGGUUAUCUACCCAUUGAGGGAUACAAGGCCCAAAUUUCACAUCUGGAGCUGCCACCUCACUUCAAUUGGCUCUGGUCUUCGUGCUACAAACUUAAGCACAAGACUUUCUUCUGGCUAUUGCUCAUUGAUAGGCUCAACACUAGAGCAAUGCUUCAUAAAAAGAAUUUUCAUAUGCCAGUAUAUGAUUGUGUUCAUUGUGAUGGAUGUCGUCUGAAAACCAGAGAUCACCCCGUCUUCAAUGUCCAUUCGCCAUAAUUUGCUAGAAUUACAUCUGCCCCAACUUCACUCUCUUGCAAAAUGUGCACAUAAAUAUUGAUCUCCUCAAAAGUGAACUGAAAGUUCCAUUCUUCAUGGAAAUCAUCACACUGGUCACGUGGGGCAUCUGGAAAUCCAUGAAUAAUUUCAUCUUGAACCAAAGGAGGCCAAAUCUCUAUAGAUGCAGGCAGAUAUUCAACGGAGAGCUAAACCUCGUCUUCCACAGGGCGAAAAGAAAGACCUAUUAUGGAUUUGCUGAUUGGAUAAAAUCUUUUAGAUAGUCUUUUUUGUAAUCUGGCACUCUUGCUGAUAGGAUAGGAUAAAGGUGGCCUAUCUUUUGAUGAGGAGAUAGCUAUCCAUUUGGGUGGAGGUCGAUGUUGGCGAACCGACUACAAACGUGCGAGACGUUGCGCCUUAGCGAUCACUACACCAACUUCCGAGGUUAUUGACCGCGCCGAAGCCAGAUCAACCUGAUCCCGAAGGAUCAAUCCCGGCAAGCAACCAAAGAACCAACAAGAACAAUAGAUGCAAUCAAGAUAUUGCGAAUAAAGAUGAAGCUUUAUAUGUGGGAUUCUGCAAGUGCGUAGUACAGGAGGUCGAUUUGACUUUCGUGCCUAUGGCGAAGAUUAGCAAUGGCUGAGUCUUAAAAUAACUAAAAUCCGAGUCUAAACGAUGACCUAAAAGGGGUUUAUAUAGAGGGGUAUGGUGCCAGCCUUUGGAAGUGGGCCGAACCCUCUAUAGGUCGGUUUACAUGGGCCUGGUCCAACUCUCAUUAUGGGCUUUACUAGCUCUAGCAAGAUCAUCUUUUAAAAUACUUUCAGGAGACAUAGGAAGUAACACAAUUGGCUUAUCAUUGUGAACAAGAGAGUACUGAUUGGUGGUACCAUAGUGUACCGAAUUUGUGUCAAAUUGCCAUGGUCUACCAAGUAAAAGAGCACAUGCUUGCAUAGGAACAACAUCAUACUCAACAUAAUCAGCAUAUGCAGCAAUAGUAAAAUGCACACGAACGGUACAUGUUACCUUAACUUUGCCGCUGUUGUAAACCAUUGAAUAUGAUACGGUCAAGGAUGGGGUCGUGCCUUGAGAGAAAGCUUCUCUACCAUCUCCAUGCUUGUCAGAUUGUUGCAGCAAUAAUAAUACGAACACAUCGGUCUUUGACCACACCUUUGGUAUGAAACAGAUUAUGGCGCUGAUUUGGUUCAGCCUUGGUCACUUGUGCACUCAAAACUCGCUGGGCAAUUAAGCUCGGGUACUUCUUCGCUUCUUCUGCAGCCAUGAAGUGGGACUCGUGGUCCUGGGUUGCUGCAGCACAUUGCUCCUCAUGUGCAAUAAGUGCUAAAGUGUCCUCAUCAAAAUCACUGACGGAAUCGUAACCACCAUCCUCAAGAGCAAUCAUGACACGAGCGGAGGGGCAUUCACGUGCAAUGUGACCAAGCCCGCUGCAUUUGCGGCAUUUAAUCUGGCUGGAUUUGCCCGUAGAAGCCAUGGAGGACGAAGAACUUGGGGCUGGUCCAGCGGGAGUACGCUUCUGUGCAAAUGGAGUUGAUGUAGGCGCUGCUGAGCGUGUGGGUGUGGGCGUAGAAGUGGACGGUGCAGCAGCCCGUGACGACGAAGGCGAUGGUUUCCAAGAAGAAGAACGCCCUGCAGAAAAAUUAGUUCGUGUCGCCUCUCGCCGAUCCUGCACUUCACAUUCAACAUUGCACGCAAGAUGGAACAAACGGGUUAUAGUAUGGUAUGACUUAUAUCGAAGAAUAGUUUGAAUUUCCUUAUUUAACCCACCAAAGAAACGUGCGAGCAAAGCUUCAUUAUCUUCCACUAUACCACAACGCAUCAUACCAGUUUGUAAUUCUUGAUAGUACUCCUCUACAGAACUUUUACCUUGAUCUAAACGUGUUAACUUGUUGAGCAAAGUACGUUGGUAAGAUGGUGGCACAAAACGAGUUCGCAUGGCCCGUUUCAAAGCAUCCCAAGUAGUGAUUGGAUUAGCAGCAUUAAGACGACAAUAUUCAGUCCACCAUAUGGAAGCAAAACUAGUGAACUCACAAGUAGCAGCACUAACACAUUUAUCCUCGGGAUAAUUUAAACAUGUAAAACGUUGUUGUACUUCUAAUUCCCAAGAAAGGUAUGCAUCAGGAUUAUAUCGACCAUCAAACAUGGGUAUAUUCAAUUUCAGUUUUGCAACAUGGUCAUCAUCACGUACCAGCGGGUGUGCGUUGCGAACGUAGGGGCGUGGACGGCCACGCGGUUGGUGUAGAACCUCCUCCUCGUUCUCGCGUUCGCCCUCGGAGUCGUCCGCCCCGUAAUACUCAUCAAGCUGCUCAUCGUGGAACAUGUCGGCCGUAGUCGAGGAUUGGCCUUGGUGAAGGGGAACACUCUGUGCCCGCCCAGCGAACGCUUGCUGAUGUGGAUCCCGAGUUGUGGUUGGCUGCGGUAAAUGCGCCAUCAGCUCCCGGAAUUUGGCGUCGAGCUGGGUGGUGAAAGAUGCCUCGAGGCCCUCGACCCGUUCCAUCAUAUCAUUAAAACGUUUGUCAACAUCCUGCAUGUGGUCGCCCAUGAGCUUGGUGAAGUUAGCUUGCAGUUCGGCGCUAGUGGGUUCCUUGGCAUCGUCCACACCUAUCAUGAUUAGUACUCAAAAGCACAGCUAGCUAUAUGGGUGUAUAUGCUCCAGGCAAGUGGUGGAACACGCGUAAUCCUUCAAGCAAACUAAAAUUCUUACCCGUUCUUACCCUGCAGAAGGUGGUGACUAGCAACCGUUGUGGUUAAAUCUCAGGAAGAUUGAGUAGAGCGAUUGCCAGGCGGUGUCAACGCACGGUGUAGGAAUAUGUGGAGCUCUGGGUGCCUGUAAUAUCUGUAGCAACAAUUCAAAACAGCAAUGCCACAAGUUGAAAAAUAGUUCAAUGACGGUACCGUGCUGGUCCUAAGAUAAACCGGCUAGAGACGCGAGCCUAGAACACCUACGAGUCACACCGCAGCACCAAAAACAACAGGUAUAUGAUUGUGUUCUGGCUCUUGCUCAUUGAUAGGCUCAGCACUAGAGCAAUGCUUCAUAAAAAGAAUUUUCAUAUGCCAGUAUAUGAUUGUGUUCAUUGUGAUGGAUGCCCUCUGGAAACCAGAGAUCACCCCGUCUUCAAUGUCCUUUUGCCAUAAUUUGCUGGAAUUACAUCUGCCCCAACUUCACUCUCUUGCAAAAUGUGCACAUAAAUAUUGAUCUCCUCAAAAGUUAACUGAAAGUUCCAUUCUUCAUGGAAAUCAUCACACUGGUCACGUGGGGCAUCUGGAAAUCCAUGAAUAAUUUCAUCUUUAACCAAAGGAGGCCAAAUCUCUAUAGAUGCAGGCAGAUAUUCAACGAAGAGCUAAACCUCGUCUUCCACAGGGCGAAAAGAAAGAGCUAUUAUGGAUUUGCUGAUUGGAUAGAAUCUUUUAGAUAGUCUUUUUUGUAAUCUGGCUCUCUUGCUGAUAGGGUAAAGGUGGCCCUAUCUUUCGAUGAGGAGAUAGCUAUCGAUUUGGGUGGAGGUCGACGUUGGCGAGCCGACUACAAAUGUGCGAGACGUUGCGCCUUAGCGAUCGCUACACCAACUUCCGAGGUUAUUGACCACGCUGGAGCCAGAUCAACCUGAUCCCAAAGGAUCAAUUCCUGCAACCAACCAAAGAACCAACAAGAACAAUAGAUGCAAUCAAGAUAUUGCGAAUAAAGAUGAAGCUUUAUAUGUGGGAUUCUGCAAGUGCAUAGUACAGGAGGUCGAUUUGACUCUCGUGCCUAUGGUGAAGAUUAGCAAUGGCUAAGUCUUAAACUAAACAAAAUCCGAGUCUAAACGAUGACCUAGAAGGGGUUUAUAUAGAGGGGUAUGCGGCCAGCCUUUGGAAGUGGGCCGAACCCUCUAUAGGUCGGUUUACAUGGGCCUGGCCCAACUUGGGGUGACGCAGCACCAUAUCUUCACGUGGACGUAAAUAGGAAUUGGAAACUCUAUAUGUCGCCCACAUCUUCAUCUCUCCUUAUGGUAGCUUCAAAGUUCUGAAAUCUCCCGUUGCGGCAUCAUCUUGAAUCCUCGUACGCUUGCCACCAUCUUCUCCAUGCGUGAUCAUGCUCCAGUGCUUGUCCCUCUCAUCCAUGCUAGGUCCAUCAUUCCUAAGUGUAACAAACACAUCUGAUUUAGGCAGCAUCAUAUGCUCAUGUAUGGAAGGAAUCGUUCCAAGAAACGAAAGUACCUGAUAGUUAAGUUGGCGUGCACGAGCUCUUGUGAGAUGUCCUUGUAUUGUAGCUGUAGGUGCAGCGGUUGUAUCAACAUGGGGGAUGUCCUCAUCACUUGCCCCUUUGAAAUUUUGUACAGUUGACACCAUUUAAUAUAUGUCUGUAGGCAGUUUGCCUACAGUCUUUUGCCCUCAAAAAAGUUGAGAAAUGGGAGCAUUUUAGUCCAAGAUGUUGCAAAAUAGGAAAAUUAGUCCUAAAAGUUGAGGCGCGGGCGUAUUUUAGUCCAAUUGGUCCGAACUGGACACGUGGCAGCGACAUGGGAGUCCCAUCAGGCCCGUGGAAAUUUCGCAAAAGGCCCCUCGGACUGGAACAAUUUGGACAUAGGUCCCCGGUACACGCCGAGAGUCCAGUGGGCUGCUCGGUUUCAUUCGACUGGGACCGCACUGCCGUCCAGCGUCGUCCACCUCGCCAGUGCCGCCAUCUCCUCUGAGGACAGCCUCCUCCAGGGCCUCCUCUUCUCCGAAGUCGAUGUUGUUCGCUGAUGGCGCCAUCUUCUGGAACUUUCUUAAUGCCUGGGCCGAGGUCGCGUGCACCGGCCGGCGCUUCCGGUGGAACUUCGCCAACCUCGUCUACGGCGUGAGCGCUGAGGCGGUGCGCGCGCCGAAUCUGCUGGCCACGUCUCAGGAGGUCAGCAAGGCGUUUAAAAAAACACAAAUUGUCUGGGCGAACUAAAUAGGAUACAUGUCAACGCCUGAUUGGUUUAAUUGGAGCUCUAAGCAAUCCGCAUCUCAACUUUUAGGACUAGUUUUCUUCAUUUUGCAACUUCUUGGACUAAAUUGCUCCUACCUCAAGUUUUCAGGCAAUGGUGCUAUUAGCUCUUGUAACAUCCCAAAAUUUCAAACCUUUACAUGUGCAUUGCAUCCAUGAGCAUCCUGACACAAUUGCAUGUUUGAAUUCAAAUUUUGAAUCACAAAAGACUUUAAGAGAUUUUGUUUACAUCCCUGUAACCUUUGGAUUUUCAAACCAAUAGGGUUGAGGUAUAAAAAGGGUUUUAAUGCAUAUAUAAGCUAUCCCAUAAUUUUUGGUUAACUAAUUGGAGUUGAAAAAGUAUUUUAUUCAAACAGAUAUAUAGCCCUAAAGUCAUUUAUAGGGCAAAUGUAUUUUUAUAUAUUUUAUUUUGAAGAGAAACUACUUCCAAAAGUUGUAUCAUGGUAGAACAUGAUUUUACAAAUUUUCGGGAAUUUAUUUGGACCAAUUUGGAGUUCAAACACAAAAGAUAUCAAAGAAAUGAGAAAAACAGAAAAAGAAAAGGCCUAAAAGAAAAAAAAAAGGGUAAACCGGACCGGCCCGGCCAAAAUGGGCCGAACCGGCCCAGUCCGACCGCGCCCGACCGGUCCAGGCCGCCCGGUCCGCGCGCGCGCCCGCAGUCGCUGACAGGUGGGGUCCACCUGUCAGCUGCGUCUUCCCCGAAGGAAAGCGCCGCCGGUCACGCGCGCAAAUUCCGGCCGCCGUCCCCGCGCGCCCGCCGUCGCAAUCCGCUCCUCCGGCCUUCCAUUUUCAUGCCCGAGCACUCCUUUAUAACCCCCGCGACCUCCUCUCUCUUUCCCCCAUGUUUCCUCAUCCGAUCGCGCCGCCGGGCUGCCCCGAUUUCUCGCCGGAACCGACCGCGCCGCCGCCCAUCUUCGUCCUCGGCGCCGUCCCCGACCGCGCCCCGUCUCCGCCGUGCCGCGCCGCGCCUCCCCGUGCCUUCACCGUCGCGCCCACGUCGCCGGAGCGUCCCCGCGCCGCCGCGCCCGUGCCCGCGCCGCCGUCCGCCGACCGCACCGCCCGCUCGUCCCGUCCUAGGCGCCGACCCGCGCUGCCCGAGCCCGCGCCGACCGCGUCCCCGAGCUCGCCGUGCCGCGCCGCUCCGUCCCCGCGCCACCCCGUCACGCCAGCCCCGCCGGAGACCCCACCGCCGUCCCCGCCCGCGGCGCCGCCGCCGGAGUUUCCUCGCCGGAACCCUAGGUGAGCCCGAGAGUCCCCGUCCGUCCGAUCGUGAUCAACGGUCCAGAUUAGAUCCCGAUUUUUUAUUUUUUUUCAUUUAACCGAACCGGUAUGCACCAAUGAGAUUGCGACACGUGGCACCCGGUUUUAUAAAAUAAAAUGUAAUUUUAAUCCCCCGGAAAUAAUAAAAGGCAUUUUUGCAGAUAGGCCCCUGUAACUUCAAAUGAUCAUAACUUUAAAUCUGUUUGGCCAAAUUUAAUGAUCCACACCUUUUUGGAAUCCUUAGAAAGUGUAGGAUUUUAUUAGUUGCAUUGUCAGGAUUUUUAUUGUAUCUAUGCUAGCUAUGAUCUGUCCUAGUAGUAUAGGAUGCCUUUGCCAUGACUUCACCAUCAAUUGCCAUCGUAGUAGUAAGAGGCUAUGCUAUGAUAAUAUACGAGGGUGGUAUUGUUACAAUGUGAUACUGUUGAAUUACAAUAUGAUUUUCCUAGUGUAUGGCAAAACAAGUAAUUCAAUGAACCGUCCUGAGUGGGCUGCUUUGAGUUUUCGGAUGUCGUGACGUUAGGUCCAUUUCUAUGGGGCUCGCUGAGUCGUCUCUCCGUGUGAUUCGGGAGCGUCCAUGGUCGUCUCCCCGUGCGAUUCGGGGAGCGCCUGCGUCACAAUGUGGGAUGCCAUCCGGGGUAACCAGAGACUGGACUAGUUUCCUGUUUAGUAGCUUCCAGUACAACCACAUGGUAUUAUGGGCUCUGCCAGGAUGGAUGUAAGAAAUAUGAACCCGGAUCCGAGGUGACAUCGGUAUGUAGCAGUGUAGGUGGGGGCGCGUCCCUCAGGUGGUUUGGGGGAAUAUGUUCUGAAAAUUCCUGUAAUCGAUGCCGUUGCUACUCCACCUGGAGGACAGCAAGGGAUUAACACGUCGAUUUCUUGUGGGUAAAGUGUACCACCUCUCGAGAGUGUCAAACUAAGUACUUAGCCGUGUCCCCGGUUACGGACAAUUAUGAGCAACUGGAUAUCGGAGCUGUAAGGAAAGUCUCACUCAUUCCAAUUUCUUAAUAAAAUGAAUGGUUUGAACUGGGUAGGAGCAUUGAUGUUUCUACUCAAUGUGCCUAGGUUAAUAGGAGCAUGGGUGUUUCUACCCCGUGUCCAAUAGAAUUCAAAACUAUUUGUCUAAAAAUGAUAGGAUUUGAAUAAUGAUGCUUUUAUGCAAAAUAGCCAAACCCCACUUAACCAAACUAUGCAUGUACUUGGUAGGUCCUUUAUAACUCUAGUGAGCUUGCCAAUACAUUCAAAUGUAUUGACCACGUAGUGGCUGCAAUUAACAAUGCAGGUGGAUCCGACGAUGAGUGAGGCUCGUCGUUUUGUCAUGGGUCAUGUGCUUACAUUCCAACAUGCUCUCUCCUCUGGGAGUAGAUGAGGCCCUUUUACUCUACUUUUCCGCUGCAGCUUAAUGAUACAUUGUUGUCAUGGUUUUGAACAUUAUUUGUUUAUGCUGGCCCAAGAGGUCAUGCAAGUUUGUAAGUACAAUUUAAGUUCUGGAUGAUACGAUGUAAUAAAGUACUUUUGACCUUUGUAUCUUGGUAUUACAUCUUGAACUGUGUGUGCUAGUGAGUCGAUCCAGGGACUAGCACAAGUAAGCACAGAGAUCGAACCCUUGUGAAGGGGGAUCGCUUCAGAUGGUAUCAGAGCAAAGUGUUGCCUGUAGGAACGUGACCCUAGUUUGGAUUAAGAUAAGACAAGACCAAAAACCAAACCUUAGGAAAUGUUCUCAUCCCUUUCUGUUCUAUAUCUAUAUACAUACAUUUUAUUCCUUAUCCCUAUUCAUCUAAAUCUUUGCAUUUAUAACUUACAUAUGCAUGACAUGUUUAUUGUUUUAUUCCACAUAUACACCGAAUAAUAUGUUUAUUACCACAUAUGCAUGCUUAAUAUAUUUUACCACAGAUGCAUAUUCGAUUUUUACACCAUACACCACUAUAAUCAUGUUGCCAUGUUGUUCACAUGUUAGUAUGCAUCCAAUUUUAUAUUUACAUUUCCACCCUUGAUAUUAAUGUUAUCACUUGAUUCCUACUCUACCACUUUUAUUUUAUUUUUACUUACAUUCGACCAUUUGAUCAUGUCACUGAUACUCCCUUGUCUCCUUCUUUAUUUUCUAUAGAUGGGAAGCCCAACACCGUUCGGCAAUGUACCGCCGUUCACCCGCGUCUACUACCCUUCCACGGACGACGACCAGCUGUUCAGUGCCCCUUUGGCGGCACUGUGUGCUUUCCUCGACCUGCCACCACCCAGGUUCAGAGGCCGAGUUGAGAUCGCCGCACCCGAGGGAUGGCAGCCACGGUGGGAGAUCGAGGCGAAGAUCCGGGGGCGUGAGAUCGCGCCAGCUACACCGGAUAUCACCUUCAUCAGCCGCUACCCCACAUUCGAGCAGGGCCUUCAGUUCGCCAUGCAGUGCGCCUUCGCACAGGUGUGCCGGGACUAUCGGCACGAGUUCCCCGAGGAUUCCUCCUUCCUCCUCUUUGGAAGGCGGAACCAUGCAUGCUCGGCGGUGGCUACGACCAACGACGAGGAUGCGACCCCAGUGACGACCCACUUCGAGAACAUGGAGAUAAACACCGUGGACUUGGAGUCUUGUCUCGAGCACGAGAUGAUCAGGGCCGACCUCGCCGAGGAGCAGGUUGGUAACCUGAUGGGAGAGAAGACCCAGUGGCUUGAGGACAAGGCCGUGUUGGAGAACACUGUCCUCAACAUGGGAGACGUCAUCGAGCAGCUACAGUAUGAGAGGGACCAGGCUCGCUACUACUGCGAGCAGUUCCAGGCGUUCAUCACAGCAGCAGCCGCAGCAGCACCAGCUGCCGCACCGGCGCCAGACCAGGUCCCACCUCCACCACAGGAUCAGGAGAUGGAGGCUCAGGAGGAGGAGCCCCAGGAGGUCCACGAGAUGGAAACCCCUGCUACAAACACCCGCUCCAAGAUGAAGGCGAACGGGACCACACCGACAGCCACACUCCCUUAGAUCUGUUGAUGCCUACCAGACUUUAUCUUGAAAAAUAAUUUGUUUUAAUAGCCUAAGGGGCCCAAAAGCCAUUUUAUAGGCAAAUGUAUUUUUAAAUAUUUUAUUUUGAGGAAAUUCUUGUUCCAAAAGUUAGAUCAUAUGAAAAUAUGAUUUUACAAAUUUUUGUUACAUUUUAUUUGGAGUGAUUUGGAGCUUCGAAUCAACUUUGAGGUUCAAAAACAGAAAAUAGAUAAAAGAAAAGGAAAAACCGAGAAAACCGGUCAAACUGGACCGAACUGGUCGGACCGGACCGGACCGGACUGAACCGGACCGGCCCGGCCCGAGCCGCCCAGACGCCCCACUGCCAGGCGGGCCCCACGCCCCCCUUUCUUCUCCAACUGCCUCCGCAGUCCAUGCCACGCACGUCCGCGAAACCACCGCACGCCUCCACUCCAAUUCCUUCGCGCUCGAGCCCCUAUCCCCGAGUCCGUUCGCGUCACUCCGAAGCCCUCGAACUCCUCUUCCACUUCCCUCAAACCCCACGUCCAUUUUCGCAUCGGUUAGGAUUUAAUUUCUCACCGAAGUUCUUCACGGACGUCGCCGUUCUUCGCGUUUUGCCGUCGUUCCGGUGAGCUUCCGCCCGCGCCGACCCUCUCCCCUUCUUCCUCUCUCCAGCGCGAAUGCCGUGACGCGCUCGGCUUCGUGUUUGGGCGCCGCCGGUCGCCGCGCCGCCGUCUUCCCCAAGGCCGGCCGCCACCCGCGAUCGCACGCUCCGCGCCCGCGCCCGUGUGCCGCCGCCGCCCGCCUACACGCCGACCGCGCCGCCUGCCCGCGCCCCCGCGCUGCCCCGCGCACGCCGCCCACCGCCCGCGCCGCUCGCCCGCGCCGCCGCGCCGCCGGCCGGAACCCUAGGUCCCGGCCUAUCCCGCGCUGCCACGUGGCGAGGUUUUAGUUUUAUUUGUUUUAUUUUAUUUCGGCCGAAUUGGAUAAUGCAAUUUUGCAGAAAAGCCCCUACAACUUCAAAACCUUAUAUCUUUUAAACUGUUUGUCCAAAAAUUGUGAUCCGCACCUUUCUGGAAUUGUCACAACGUGUAGAAUAUUUUGGCACUGUUUAAAUUCAGUUUUGAACAACUUAUACAGAAGAUAUUUACAGAAUGGUUGAUUAUGGUUUAAAUUUUAAAUGAAUUGUUUCAAAAUAGUUUUGAACAUGUUAUCUUGCUGUAAAAUUAUUUAAACUUGUUCUCUGUCCAUUAGGACUAGAAAAGAAAUUAUUUUGUGUAUAAUCAUGGCAUACAAGUUAAAUAUUGCUCUAUGUUGCAAAAGGCGCACAAUCUUUUGUUUUAAACUCUAUCCAUGUAUCAUGCAUAUUAAUUACCACUUGAUGUUGUAUAAUCUGUCCAAAUCAUUUGAAAAACUUUUCAAAACAGAAACAAAACUUGUACUUUAGAAGUAACCUUUGUGUGCAUCAUCAUGGCAUAUGCGUCAUGGCAUGGCUUUUGUAUUGAAUGUUGUGUUUAUUGUGUGUAUGUUUCUUUUAUUUUAGAUUGUGUGGAGUGUAAUUCCUUGUUCUUGUGAAGAGUGCGAGAACUAUCACAACCUUGGACAAGGCAAGUUCACUUUGAUCAUAUCCCAUUAUUAUUGUUGUUUUAAAAUACUUAUGCAUUAGUGUUGUUGGUAGAGAUGCAUUGAUAGGACUAUUACUCGUACCUCUAUGCUAGCUAUAAAUCCCAGGUAGUAUAGUUUACCCUCGCCAUUACCUUGCUACCAAAUUGCCAUCGAUUGUAGUUGAAUGCUAAGCUAUGGUAAUAUCGUGGGGGAAAUAACUACAUUAUGAUAUUGUUAUGCUUUUGGCGAUAUGAAAUGUUUUGUUAGAUGUAAGGCAAAACAAUUAAUUCAAUGAACCGUUUUGGGUGGGCUGCUUUGAAGAUUUUGAGGAUUAGCGGCGUCAUGUCCAUUUCUAUGGGUCCCUCUGAGUCGAGUUCCUGUGGAUUCAGGAAUGGAUCGUCCAUGGACGUCUCUCCCGUGGAUUCGGGGAGCGCCUACCUUGCAAAUGUGGAAUGCCACCUGGGGUAACCGAGACUGGACUAGUUUCCUAUUUAGAAGCUUCUAGUACAACCACAAUGCUAUAUGGGCUCUGGUGAGACAAGAGUAAGUUGUAUGAACCUAGAUCCGAGGAAUUGUAUUGAGGUAGCCGUGUAGGGGGAGCGUGAUUCUCUCGUGGUUUAGGGAAUUACCUCUGAAAAUCUCAUAAUCGAUGCCGUUGCUAUUCUACCUUGAGGACAGCAAGGGAUUAACACGUCGGUUUCUUGUGGGGAAUGUGUACAAACUCUCGAGAGCGUCAAAACUAAGUACUUAGCCGUGUCCCCGGCAACGGACAAUUUGAGCAACUAGAUGUGGAGCUGUAAGGAAAGUCUCACUCAUUCCAAUUUCUUAAAUAAAAUGAAUGGUUUGAAUAGGGUAGGAGCACUUGAUGAAUCCACUUCAAUGUGCUCUAGGUUAAUAGGAGCAUGGGUGUGUCUACCCCGUGUCCAAUAGUUAACAUUAUUAUAACAUUCCUUUGUAGUAGGCUAAUUUAUGUUCUGUUUCCACGCAAACAGCCUAAACUCCACCUUGCCAAAUACUGCAUAUACUUGGUAGGUUUUAUUAUAACUCCUAGUGAAUCUUGCCAAUACAUUCAAUGUAUUGACCCUAGUGGCUGCAUCGUUUAAUGAUGCAGGAAGCUCCGACGACGAGUAAGAUGUACGUUCUCCUUGUUUGGGUUACGGGCUUACAUUCCAACACGCUCUCACCGUGGUGUUGAUGUGCCCUUGUAUCUUCCGUUUUCCGCUGCUAAACAAUUGUUUUAUUUCUAGCUAACCCGUGAGGUUAUGCGAGUUGUAAGUACCCUUUUAUAUUCUGGAUGAUACGUUGUAAUAUUGAGACCUUUGUUCUAUGAUAUUACAUCUUGAAACUGUGUGUGCUAGUGAGUCGAUCCAGGGACUAGCACUAAAGCACAGAGAUCGAACCCGUAUACGGGGGCGGUCGCUUCAUCCAGCCGGCAGCAGCCCCAAGGGAGGCAAGCUGCAAGAGAGAGGGAGCCGCCUCCAUGCCGCCCAAGCGCCGAAGAACUGCCACGCGCAUGGCCAGACAGCCGCCACCGCCCGCAACCAGAGCACGCAGGCUGCCUCCGCCCGCACGCGCGCCCCCGUGCAGACCUCUGCCGCCACCAGGAUGCGCCGCCCUGACGAGGUCCGGCCGCCGCCAGGGAGCGCCACGGAAACAAGUGACGCCUCGCCGGCCGAGCAGGGCCCCGCCACCGCCACACGGGCUUUGCCUGGUGGCGCGCUCAGGCGGCGGCGAGGGAGGGGAUGACGGCGCUAGGGUUUCAAGGAGGGUCAGGCUGAGAGAGUCUCCCCCGGCGCUUUUGUGUGAUUCAUGGAAGGCAACAAGGAAACUUAGUUCGUAAAAAUAAGGGGAAACUUAGCUUCUAAGUAGAUGUUGCGCAUUUAUUUGUUUGACUCCAAUAUCUCAAGGAAAGAAAUGCUGUUUUUUAUUCAUAGAAUUGACACUGUACGUGGAACCACACAUUUUUAUAGUUUUUUAAGUAAUAAGCAACUGAUGUAUUCAGUUGUCGAAAAAACACUAUUGCAUUCAUUUAGCAUGCGGGUCAACGCUUAUGGUCAUCCAGUUGCAUUUUGCCAUUUUCCCUUUGUUACAGAGCUUUUUACCAGCCAAGUUUUUCAAGAAAGCAGGCGUACCGGAGUUGAUGUAUGAACCUUUAUGCUAUCUUUUUUUAAACUGAAUUUUAUAAUUAUGACUAAAGUUUUGGGGGCAUCCGCCCAUUUAAUUUGGCAUAAGAAACACAUAGGGAGCAAAGCUUCAUUGCCUAGCUUUUCCAUACGACACACAAAGUUGCUACCGUCACGUAACAAAAUUUUCCACCUCCACAGAAAUAAAGUUGUCACGUACGACGGGCAAGUUGUUACACAAAAAACGUGGCACGAUCGCAGAUACUUUUCACCAUUGGACGAACAGCAGACCGUUCAAUCUAGGAGACUAAAGGGCCCUUAUCAAUUCCGUUUGACAUAUUAGUUUCGUCAUAAGUUUGGUUUCACUAUGUUUAUUAUUUCAGGAUGGACAUCUAAUGUAUUACUAUUGAUUUCGUAUUGCAGAUGUCAUUAUUUUUCUAAACUUAGUCAAAUUUUAAAAUUUAACUUAGAGCAAAUAUAUCUACUUUUAAGGAACAGAGGGAAUAUUUGUUAACAAGGACUCUAGUUGUGUCAUUUUUUGAAUUUUUGGCCAUUCAGUGUGAUUCAUAGUUUCUUCUCCGGCGUGCCAAUGGACAGGAGACUGGUAUUAUAAAAUCUACUAUUCUCCUCUUAAAAGAGCUAGACUACGCUCCUCCUCAGCUAUUCUAUCGUGUUGGGCGUCUACGCAUCGUCCGAUCAGUAGUCGCUGGUAAUGCUGGCUGAUCCAGAGCGUCUGUUGAGCUUUCUUUUUUGUUACUUCAGCCGGUCUGGUUAGGUGUGGCUGCAGGUGGCCUGGGGCACAUGUGGGACGAUUGUAUCAUUAGAUGGACGGGCGGAAGUUGAGAGCUUUCUCUUUUUCCUGGUCACUCUCAGUACAAUAUCUUAAGUGACUAAGGCAGCAACGGCAUGAUGACAGUGGCGACGACGUGACGAUGGUACGACGGCCUGUUGCGUGUCCGAGAGAGAGAGAGAGGAGGGAGGGAGGGAGGGAGGCUUUACCGUUCUCCAUUCUCUCAGCGCGUCUCACAUUCACUCGAUUUUUCUCGCCAGCUUCUCUUACAGGUGUCUAGCGAUGGCAAUCGCGGCGGAAGACGACAUGGGUGGGCGUUGCCGCCUGCCGGGACAGGCGUUCGAGGCCAAAGGUGUGGCGUGGGAGCGGCACACGCUCCGGCAAGCGGUUAGGUCGACCGCGACGCACAGGGUAUGGAUGGACGGUUGAGAUGCACAGUCUCUCGGCACUUGGAGCGAAAAAGAAGCCACACAGGGCCCCUGUCUCCCAGGGCGAUGCGAUGAAAACUCUGACGGCCGGUGGCGGCGCCCAAGUGGUGGCAGGUAUCCUCUUACGGAGCCCUAUAAGCAUAAACGUAGUUUCCGUACGGCAGAUAAAAUAGAUUUUACAAAAAUAUAAAUAAAAGGACAAUUUAUCCGCAGAAAAAACACGGAUGUGGUGUUGCUAUAGAGAUCGAAGUUGACUGACUUUUAGUCAGAAAAAACACGGAUGUUUUAUCGGUGUUGCUAUAGAGAUCGAAGUUGACUGACUUUUAGUCAGAGAUAAGCCGACGUGCUGACCGUUGAAUCUUAAUCCAACGGCAUGAUGUGAAGAAACUGGAGAUAGAUUGAGUGAGAAUGAUAUCAAUAUUUUAAUCCAACGGUUCUAGUGCGAACACCGAGAUUUAAAGUUUUGCCGUAAAUCAAGAUAACACCAAUAUUUUAUUAGUAAUAAAAAAAUGAAAAUAGGUUGGAACUUGGAAGGCAGAAAAGCCUUCGCCCAAAAAGUCGCUCCCACGGUUUCCUCCAUGGUAUGCGCCGGAAGCUUGCGCUCCUGCUCGCCGCCGCCAAUGGCGCCGCGCUCCCUCUCUCCCAUACGAAGCAGAUUCACGCGCGCCUCCUCCUCGUCUCCCCUUUCAUCCCCGACGACGUACGCCUCUUUCUCCUCCGUUCCUAUGCUGGGCGAGGGGACUUCGCGUCCGCGCACUGCCUGCUCGACGAAACACCCCGCCCGGUCUCGCCGCUGCUCUACAACGCUGUCAUACGUGCCCACGCCCGCCGCCUAGACCUCCCCGCGGCGCUCGCGCUCUUCGCCAGAAUGCGACGCUCCGCCACCCCGCCCGACGCCCACACCUUCGCCUGCGUCGUCCGCGCAUGCGCAGACUGUUCAAGCCCGGACACAGCCAAGAUCGUCCAUGGCGUUGCAUCUUCUUCCGGCAUGUCCUCCCAUCCCGUCGUUGGCAGUGCGCUGGUCAGUGCGUAUUCAAAGUUUUUGCUCGUGGACAGUGCUCGCCAUAUGUUCGAUGGAUUGCCUGACCCGGACUUGGUUCUCUGGAACUCAAUGUUGUCUGGGUAUGGGUACCGGGAAAUGUGGGUAGAAGGGCUUCAACUGUUUUCUGCAAUGCGUAGAGCUGGGGAGGAGCCAGAUGGAUACUCCAUGGUCAGCUUAGUCUCGUCCUUUCGGAAUCCAGAGGCACUUGAUUUUGGUCAAGCAGUUCAUGGAGUGUGUAUCAAGGGCGGUUAUGAUUCUGGACACCACGUGAGAAGCGCACUUGUUAGCAUGUACUUCAGGUGUGGCUGCAUGGAAUCUGGCCAAACCUUGUUUGGUAAUUUGCUGGAUGCGGAUUUGGUUACAUGGUCUUCACUAAUUACAGGGCAGUUGCAGACUGGGAAGUAUGAGGAGUCAUUCAAUCUGUUCCGACAAAUGUGCUACUCUGGCAGGAGGCCUGAUAGCAUAUUGAUCGCUAGUCUUCUUUCAGCAUGUGCUUCUACAGCAACUGUCAGCUGUAGCAGGGAGAUCCAUUGUUAUGCGAUCAGGAUUGGAGCUGAUGCAGACGUUAAAGUCUCAUCUUCACUAAUGGAUGCAUAUGCAAAAUGUGGCUUUGCUGAGCUCGGAUAUUUGGUGUUCCGCCAAAUGCCUAAUAAGAACUCAGUCGUGUACAAUAUGGUCAUAUCAAACCUUGGUUCUCAUGGGUUUGCAUUGAAAGCCAUUGAAGUCCAUGAUGAGAUGAUUUGUGACAAGUAUAGGCCUGAUGGUGCUACCUUCUCUGCUUUACUUGCUGCUUGUUGUCAUGCAGGACUCUUAGACGAGGGAUGGAAGUUGUUUAGGAGAAUGCAAGAUGAGUUUCACAUUGUGGUUGAAAUGGAGCAUUAUGUGUACAUGGUAAGGCUUCUUGCAACAUUUAACCAGCUGAAGGAGGCAUAUGAUCUUAUACAGACAAUGCCAAUGGCACCAGAUUGUGGCGUGUGGGGUGCACUGCUUUGGGGGUGUUGUUUUCACCGCAAUUCCAGCCUUGGUAGGGUAGUUUCUGAAAAGCUCUUUGAGAUUUAUCCAGACAAGGCUGCUUACGGGAUCAUGCUUUCAAACUUGUAUGCAUCGCAGGACAUGUGGUGGGAUGCUGAGGAGGUCAGGUCUGAGAUAUUGAAAGAAGGUAUGCACAAGAACACAGGGAUCAGUUGGGUUGGUGAAGUAAGAAAAUGAUGAUUGUGUAUCCAUCAUUGAAAACAUUUCUGACAACCCUGUAUUGUUAUGGUCUGAUAGAAAUGAAAUCUUUUGAAACUCCUUGAAACCUUUUUUGUUCAACUUACCUUUUGGCAUGUAUUAUUUUCUUUCUUUUUUUGUCAUUUACGUAGGAUUAUUUGCUGUGUAUAGCAUUGCUAUUUUAGUAUGCAUCCAUGAAAUUUUGAGUUCCUAAUCGUUAUCGUAGUUGUUAAUGACGUGGAGUAACAUAAACUUCGGAACAGUAGUAAUAGCAACAGUAGUAAUAGCUGAAGCGCUCUUGAUUUGAGUCUGUAGUAAUUUUCUUGCUUUGUUCAUGUGGCGGCACCCCUUGUUACCUCUAUAUAGCUGUCAUGUUAUAGAAGAUCACUGAUUCUCUGUAUCAUUGUUGCUUACAACUUCGGUAACCCUGACAGUUUUUAGUUUGCAAAAUGUAGUAAAAAAGCAUUUUUGGGUGAGGGAAUACUCUUUUCUUUGACUUUGUAUACUAUAUCGUUGUUAUAAUAGUAGAAUUUUUAGAACUCUUGGGUGCAGCUUCACUGACAAAUUCAAACAGGGUAUUACAGUAUUUUAUCUGCGUCUAUCAGUCCCAAAUUUAAUAAUCAUUCAACAGACAAAAUGCUCUCAGUGUCUCAGAACAAGCAGUCUCUGUCAAGUUGUCCUUUUCGCUGUUAUAUUUUUUAGGUCUGGAAACAUACAAUCAAGCUCUAAACCUAGCGAAAUAGGCCAAAUGUUGCAAGCCAAAGACGAGCUUGGCUCCUCCUUAGCUGGCCAAUAUUUUAAAUAUUGGAUCGGAGCUGGUGGACAUUGUGAGAAGCACCCUGACCUGAAUCUUCCAUAGUCUAUUGAUGCCAUUUUCCUAUAUUCCAAACCAUUAGAGCUUUUGGGGAAGCGGAUUAAUCUAGGAACAACAGUACCAAGCUACGUACAUCACAGCCGGCCUUGCCUGGCAAUUGACAUUUUCGCCUCCUAGCUAAGAAUUGUCAUACAAGCAUUAGAAGCUGAAGUCUGGAGCACGGCAGAUAAACUACUAGCUCUGCAACCGAAUUCGAGUUGCCUCUCCUGUUGCUAGUUCCCCAUGGCCAGACAUAGUUCCCUCUUCUUCUUCUUCUUCCUUGCUUUGUUUGUGCAGCACCUUCACGCCGUUGUCUCUCUGCCCACUUUACCCAGAAGAAGCUUAGAACCAGCGGCGGAGCAAUGGCAGCCCAUGCAAUGCGCCCCUCAAUCCCUGAUCCCUUCGUGCAACUCGUACCUCUAUGUGACUCCUCAAGGACGCAGCCUGUCCGAGAUAGCCUCCGACUUCAAAGGCAACGCGUCUCUCAUCCAGCCCAUCAAGAGGCUCUCAGGUUCGGAGGACCUGCUGAUACCUGUGCCGUGCAUGUGCGAGGCGAUCAAUGCCACCGUGAAUGCUCUCUUCCAUGACACCGGGUAUGAGGCGAUACAAAAUGACAUUUCUGACGACAUCAACAGCAAUAAGUUCAGUGGGCUUGCGUGGAACUUAACUGCUGGACUGAAUAAGGGAGACACAAUCACGGUUCACCUUCUAUGCGGGUGUUCCUCCACGGCACCAGAGGGGGUGUUGUCAUACACGGUCCAGCCGGAAGAUACCCUGAGCAACAUCGCAACACUGUUCAGUUCAGGCUCCAGGGAGAUCCUAAGCUUGAAUCCGGCGGUCAGAAAUCCUGAUUUUAUUAAGCCAGGGUGGGUGUUGUUCAUCCCGAUGGGAGUUGCUGCUUCUUCUAACAAAAGUGAGUCACUUCUACUUAUUUUGCAUAUUUUGAAUUUUUUAAACUACAUUAAAAUGGAUUAUAUAGAAUGUUGGUGCCACUGGCAUGCUAUUACAUUGCUAAAAUGUGAUAUGCAGUAUAUCUUCUUUUGCGUCCAAAUCUGCGUUGUUAAACAUCAUGAAAGUUCCAAUGAUCUGAAAACUAUAUUAUGUUCCUUAUGCUAUUUUCCACUCUUUGUUAACUGACCGCUUGACUUUUUUUUUGUUCUUCUCCUUUCUUGAUUCAAACAUUUAGAGAUUGGCGGUUUACCGAUCAUCAUAGCAGUAUCCAUAUCAGCUGCAGUUUCGCUUCUUUGUAUGUCCAUCAUCAUACUACGCCUGAAAAGGAGGUCUCCUCUGCCCAGUGUUGAAGCGCCAAAGAAUAAGAUGGAGAAAGUUCCCAGCAACACAAGCAUUGCAAUCCUCGAGAGCCGUUACUUUCCAUCCAAGAGAAUUGAUGGUUGUUGUGCAUGCUAUGUGUAAAAUAUUUUCGAUACGACAUACAUCAUCUUAUCUUAUUACUCUGAAUCAAUUGGUUGCAGAAAUCGAUCCUUUCCAAACGGAGAGGCCUGUGAUUUUCAGCUUGAAAGAGGUUGGAGAUGCUACAGUUAAUUUUGAUGAGAAGAGGAAGAUCGGUGAGGGAGGAUAUGGGAUGGUCUACCUAGGUUUCAUAGGGACACAUGUAAGAUAUUUCUAUACUUUCUUGGUUGACUGUAAUCUUUUAGUAACAUUAGAUCCUUGUGAUCUUGCACGCAGGAGAUUGCAGUUAAGAAGAUGAAAGCCAGCAAAUCGAAGGAGUUCUUCGCUGAGCUGAAAGUCUUGUGCAAAGUACAUCACAUAAAUGUGGUAUGUACUUAGAUUGUAGAAUCUACCAGGAAACAAACAUCAAUGAUUGCAGAUGCAAAGAGAGUUCUUUCUUUUAAACAUGUGCAAUUAAUCAUAUAGGUUGAGUUGAUUGGCUAUGCUGCUGGGGAGGAUCACCUGUACCUUGUUUACGAGUAUGUCCGGAAUGGAUCGCUUAGUGAGCAUCUCCAUGAUCCUUUGCUGAAAGGUACGAGAAAGGAAGAUGAUUGUUCAAUAUUUAUUUGCUUCUUUCCAACAGAAAUGAUAUAUGUUGCUUUACUGAAAGCUUGUGUAAAGUUUCAAUUUCUACAAACUCAUGAACCUAAACAUUGCCUCGGGUUCAUAACUUACAAUUACUGAAUAUCAUGAGGAAUUUUUAGGCCAUCAACCUCUCUCAUGGACUGCAAGAACACAGAUAGCAAUGGAUGCAGCACGGGGUAUAGAGUACAUCCAUGACCAUACAAAGGCCUGUUAUGUGCACCGCGACAUCAAAACGAGCAAUAUUCUGCUAGAUGACGGACUAAGAGCUAAAGUGAGCCAUUUUAUGCCACAAAAUUUCAAGUGUUACUUCUCAGAUAUUCCAAUCUGAUUAUUUUCUGCAUAACAGGUUGCGGAUUUUGGGCUCGUGAAGCUUGUUGAGCGCAGCGAUGAAGAUGAUUGCCUGGCAACUCGUUUGGUUGGAACACCAGGCUACCUUCCACCAGAGUUAGUUGUAGAUUGGAUUUGAUUUAUAUUUUCUUCAGUGAUGGAGUUUCACAUGUAGUAUGAUAUCCAAGCAUUAACCCGGCCUGCAGGUCAGUUCUUGAGCUUCACAUGACUACCAAGUCCGAUGUCUAUGCAUUUGGAGUAGUUCUAGCAGAGCUAAUUACUGGUCUGCAUGCACUUGUGCGGGACAAUAAGGAAGCUAAUAAGACCAAGUCACUUAUCUCAAUCGUAAGAGCCCUUGAAACUGUUGAGAACUGCUCCAUUCUUAUAGUUCACAUGUCGAUGAUGUCCACCAAUGUUUUCAUCACUCUUCAACCAAAUCAUUAAACAUUUUUCCUGCUCUAAACAGAUGAGGAGAGCUUUCAAAUCAGAAUAUCUAGAGAGCUCACUGGAGAAAAUCAUAGAUCCCUCCUUGAAAGACAACUACCCAAUAGAAGAAGUGUGUAAGGUUAGUUGAUUUGAACACCAGCACCCACUCAUCGAAACAUCUGUUAACUGAAUACUGAAUAUAUAUUUAUUUUCUAUAUGUAGCUCGCAAACAUUUCGAUGUGGUGCUUGAGUGAGGAUCCGUUGGACCGGCCUGAGAUUAGAGAGAUUAUGCCAGUGCUGUCCCAAAUUCAUAUGACCUCCAUAGAGUGGGAGGCGUCACUCGGAGGUGACACCGAAGUCUUUAGCGGAGUUUUCAAUGGUAGAUGAUCACACCUUGUUGCAUGCUUUGAUCGAUGUGGAUAAGAAAUAUGUUCUCAUGUUGAUUUUAUUUGAAGGAGGAGAAUGGUUCUUGGUUUGCAUUUUGUGAAUUUAUUUUUUGAGGCGAUUGAAAAUUUAUCUACUUCCUUGCAAACAGGUAAUUUGUAGUAUGCGACUCUCUUACUCUUUGCCAGAUUUGAUAACUACAAGGAGUAUUAUUGACUUUUAGGACACGGCCAAGAAAGAGAUGGCUAGCUUUAUCUAAACUUGUGCGGCCUGAACUGGAGCUGCCAUUUGCUGCUUGUUUGCAGCUAUUUGUUCACUUCUCUUCGCGCAAAGAACACAGUACAGGCCUCCAACCAUUAUCAUUCCACCUGUUACACUGCAGGAAAAACUAUAAAUUCAGCUAAAAAAGAACUCGAAUCUUUUCAACAAUAUGAAUGUAGUGAGCUGAACAGCAGGCGGCACCUUCCCAGGGAAACUGAUUCUCCUAGGAGAAAUGAGGAGAGUGCUAUUGUGACAAGCAGAGUUAUUGGCAUUGUCAUGGCCAGGAAGACUGGCCCGCUCUUGUCUAUCACCCAUACUUGCAUGUAAUAGCCAACUCCAGAAACAACUAUACCCUGCAUGCUAUUUUGUGUUGGAAGAAUGGCAGUGUAAACAAAACAAAAGGGACAAUGUAGAUGGGAACAUAUAUUCUGCUGACUGGCAGGAUAAACGGACGAAACUGUAACAACAAAUUUCAAUUAGUGUUCAUUGUCAGAUCAGGAAACCUAAUACUAGAACACGCUUUGAAACUUAAGUAAUGUACAGUUUCGACUAUCGAACAGGACCUAAAAUUUUUUCUGGAACUCUGACUUUACGAUGUUGCAUCACAAAAAGAAAAAUAAGACAAAUUUUUAUCACCUAAACUCUGAUGAUAACAAGAUUGUCGAUACUUUAUUCUCCUGAAGUAACCAAACAAUCUGGACAGAUGUCAAACUUACAGUGUAAAGCACAGCAACAAGACAUGCAUCUGGUCCCAACUUCCAUCGUGAAAAAUCUCUCUCAACUGCUAAAGCGAUGAAGAAAGACUGAAUGGUUGCAAAGAUAAUCUGGAGAGUUGUGUUGAGCAGUUUAGAGGGGUACGCCUCCAACAUUGGCCCCUGGGAAGUACUAUUCAGGUUAAAUUGCAUGACCAAGCCUAUACCAUUCGAUUCAGCAUUAACGUUUCAAACCGACUCUGCAAAAAUUCAUAUAUACCUGGAGUACUGUCCAGAGAGCCCAACAUGAUGUGGAUAAAGUUGUCAAGAAAAUUCCUAAUACCCAACUUGUUGUAGGAUGAGCAGCUACCCCAUGAUGGGUGGUACUUAUGUGGUGAAAUAGACGGUGAUGGUUCAGAGAUUUCAGUUGAGGUCCUUGGUAAAAUGCAAGUACGAUAACACCGGCAAUGCAGAACAACACGCCAGAAACCUUUGCAAUCCCGUAGAACCUUUUCAAGUUCAAAAACUCCACCCUGCAAGGUAUACAACGAAGAAUGUGAAAUCUAACUAGCCUCCAAGUUCGUGCAAGAAUUACAAUCUACCAAAUUUGUCCAAUUGUGAAAUUCCUGGGCUCCCUUAAUUCCAGCUGUGUAGAGAGCGCGUUUGCAUGGGUGUGUGGUGCUGUGUGAGUGUGUAUACAUCUCACUUAUAAUUGAAAAAAAAAAAAGAAUGCUGGAUGUAGUCCAUCAGAAUAGACAAAUGUGACCACAUGAACUUUCUAUGAAAUAAUGCAAGUAUAGAAACGAAAACCUUUACCCCAAAAGAAGAGCCAAAAAGAAAGCAACCACCGGUAGAAGGUUCAGUAUUGCAGAUGACGCUGUUGCUGAAGCAUAUUUGAGACCAAGGCAAGAUAUGUUAAUCGCGCCAGAAAUCCUAUGAAAAAUGAAAAGGUAUAUAAAAUUAUUAAUCCAAUGCUCUUCAUAAUAACUUAUUUUCGACCAACCCUGCACAGAGGGAUCACUAUCAGUUAGAAAUUGAACAUAGGUUUAUUUUUGGAACAGAUCAACGCUGGAUAGACGUUGCUGAAGCUAAGCAAUUAUGUACUUCACAGCAACAGAAAAAACACAGGAAGAACAUGCCUUCUCUCCUGCAUGGUUUGGAAAAAGAAAAGAAAAAAGAGGAACAAAAAAUUGUGCCCUACACUUUGCCCCAGAAAAGAGAGACUAUAACAAUAUAUGGUGCUUUUUUACUUCGAAGAAGGAGAAAUGGACAAACAACAGCAUGACUGAAUGCGGAGACUGAAGAACUAACUCCAAACAUAGUUUGUUUCUUUUUUUUUAGCUGAUAGAUUGUUUGCUUCAUAAGGACUUGACAACGAACAUUGUGAACCUGAGAAACAAGAAUAGCUUCGGUGGUCAGCUAGCGAGGUAUGUUGACAGCCCACUAGAGUUCGAUCUUCGAAGGUCACACUUUGGUGUCUCACUUUGUAAAAAUUAUAUAUCAAUAUACCGUCAGACUGUGUGAACCUCUUCUAGUUCGGUAUAAGGUUCUGAAGUUUUAGUGUUGCUUUAUUGCACCCAAUGUUUCACCAUGGCAGCUAUUAACAUUUUUCGAGGACAGCUAUUAUAUUUCAGGACAAUACCAAUCAGAUUCAUAUGGAAAAAAGAACAACUGCAGUAUAUGAAUCACACUUUGACCUACCCAUAGAAUGCAUGCGCAAAAAGUUUGAGAGAGACUUUAAAUGACAGUGGUGGAGCUGUUUUCCUGCACAAAGAAACCUUAAUCCAUGGUUCCAAACUUCCAAAAUUGCAUAUAGGUAAAUAAGCAGAGAAACAUACAUACCUUUCAAGCACAAAAGCAAUAGGCACUAAGAACAGAAGAGCAGUUGCAUGCCUGUAGAAAACAAACACAGACGUGCUCAUGCCUUCAUUGAAAGCAAGUUUGGCAACUAUUUGCGCGCCUCCAUAUAUGGACCUUAUGAGGAACGCAACAACGAAAGCUGCUCUAUUGCUCAUUACAACAGUCUGAACUGAACUUAGGCAAUCAUGUUUCACAAUGUAGAGAACACUCAGGUUACUCAACUUAGUUAUGGAUGGCAGAUGGCACAGCACCGAGAACUUUCAACCGAAAGCUUGAGCAUCUGCUUUUAAAUAAAAAUAAAUUUCACACGACCACACAUUUUGUGGCAAUGGUGCAAUAGAACCAAACUUGUGACCAAUUUUCUCACGGAACCACAACUCUCGAGGCAGUGUUUUUCAAAUAACCAAAUUGUUCCAGUUUAGUGGGUUUGACGGGCCCACUUGUUAGAUGUCAAAUCAGAUCCCACUCGACUCGUUAACUCGGUCAUUUCUCCCCUAACUUCCCAACUCCAUCUGACCCCCGAAUUUCCAUGCCAAAGAUUGUUUCUACAGAGUCCUCUAGUCUUGUCAGCCCUGCCAGGUAGUUUUGUUGAGCACGCUUGUUAUUUGUCUUUUCCUUAUAGUUUUGCUGUUUCGGUUUCGUGAUUGGAUCAAUUGGUACACGUUGGUGUUUAACGUGGCUACAGAGUCUCAUUCCGUAAACUCUCGUUUUUGAGCUAUAUGUUACAACUAAGUCUUAGCAAAUGAUUCAUAAUCUGAAAAUUGUUUUUACGAGUUUAAAAGAAAGAAAAGGUAAAGUGAGACAAUUUUAUCGCCACAGUCCGUUGUUGUGCAACUGAGUAUUAUGUCAGUGUCUAAUGUUGAUUCCCUCGGGGCAUGCCUUUUCAGAUAAUCAGAUUACCCCAUGGUAGUCCUGCUUUCUCAGCAGCAGCUCAGAAAGAAUGGAGGAGGAGACAUUGCGCAUUUGUUCUAACUAGCUCAUGCAUACGGCAGGGAUGAUAUCGAUCGUCCAUAGUGGGGGAAUCACAUAUGAUACUCUUAUGCGUAUCGCUUUGGGAGAUGCCGGUUCUCUUUGUAAAACAUAGGUGAACAAUUUGCGUCGUCCUGGCAGCAAAUCUAAACUUGGACCUUACUAUUAUGCUACGGAGUACUAUAAAGGACAAUUGAUGACCGUGUCACGCACCAAGUCCCUUCUUCCUUAAAAAAAAAAUCUCAAGUGGUGUUUUGAAAAAUAGAAACAAAAAUGUUACGCAAGUUUUUCUUUUAGAUGCACUCAAGUUUUUUCUAACUCCCUCUCCCCAAGCAAGCAAUCUAGUGGCUAUUAAAAACAACGGUGAUGCAAAACAAGCCUCACAAAAAUCUCAUGCCAUGCAAAACUAUUACUCCUAUAGUAGCAUUUUUGCAUGCUGGCCUGGUCCAAUUAGCAUUUUUCUUCUUUUUUUAUGACUUACAACCCAUUUUCGUCAGAUUACAACACUAUGUAAAUAAAAGUAUGGUCCCAUUUUUCUACGAAUAAAAAUUGUCGAACACGAGACCACCCCAUCAACCAUCCAUCUGCUAACAACGAACAGACCACGUUAGGUCUUGGUUGGUGUUAGUGUAUUUUUUAGUCACUGGUGUUUUAAUAUUUGAGGGUUUUGGGUGUUCGUCCAAAACACUCAGAAAUCCAAAACACUAGUUUGAGAAGUGUUUUAAUUUGGUUAAAAAUGGAGUGUUUUGUUGGAAAACUAGGAAUAAUCCCCUCCAAACACUUCCUACCAAACAACCAUUUGGGGUUUGUAGUGUUUUUCAAUUUGAAAUGGAUAAUACCCUAGAAAACAUCCCAAAACUCACUAGUACCAAACAGGGCCUUAGUGUUUCGACCUGUACCAAACAGGGCCUUACUGUUUCGACCUGGUUGCACCGCAAGCCCUUUUUCUCCUAUAGUUUGACUUUUUUUUAGCAUAUCCUAUAGUUUGACUUUUGUUUUAACAGUGCGUUUGUCUUAGUGGCCACUAGAUCGAUCGAUCUUCUGUCUGCAACCACCGUACGAGCGCUACCUGGGUUGGGGAAUGGGCUCGGAUGGGUGGAAAAAAAGAAGACCGCGGAACUACCUGCUGGGCUGGACGGCUUUCAUCAGGUCCACCGGGAUUCAGGGGACGGGAGCAUAGGGCUUCUGUGCCGCGCAUGGGCCUGUUCGUGCCAGCCCACUCCCUGAGGGGCCCUGGCCGGGCUAAGCCCGUAUAAGUUGGGCGGGCCCAGGCCGACCCGAUGGCCAGCUAUACUGCCGCUUUGUUGCUCCCUCGUGAGGCCCACCGCCACCUCCGCGGGACCCCUAAUCUCCACUCCACGGCGGUUGCUCAAAUUGAGUCCACAUGGAAACAAUCUCCUUCUCCAUCUUAGCACCUUCGGUCAUGAGGCAAGCUCUAUAUGUGGGCCGUCCUAUAUGUGACUACUUCUAUAUGUAUUUGUUCAAACAAAUUGAUCUCACCUAAAGCAAGGCUAUAUGCUGCUCAUCCUGGGCCGGUGGCUCCGGUCUAUUCCUAGAGCAUCUCCACUAGCUUACCAAUCUUUGUUAUCUAUACCUAAAAACUGCCGAUAUACUAAAUCAGUGGCAAAAAAAAAUGCCCCACCAACUUACUUAUCUCAUUUGGUAUACCUAUGUUUUUUAGGUAAUUACUUAUCUUUCUCUCUCCUCUACUCAAAUAUAGGUAACGAGAAUGCCCUUUGGUAAAACUUCCAACACAGCGCGGGCAGACCCACUGCCAUGGGAAAAUCUCCCGCUCGUCCUGGUCCGCCGCUGUCAGGCCCAAAUCUGGCCGGCCGCCGCCGCCCGCUCCUCCCUGACUUUUGCCGCCCCUCUGCCACCCCGCUUCCGUCCUCUCCCGUCCCUCCCAGAAAUGUUUGCCAGCUGCACACUCCACGUGGCCGUCAUGUCAGUUUCGACCAGAACCGCAGGCUGCUACUUGAUUUUUUAAAGGUUUUUUCAAGGCGAUUUAAAAUUUAUACUCUCUCCGUCCCAUAAUUCUUGUUGAAAUAUUACACGUAUUUAGACAUUUUUUUGGAAUACAUACAUUCAUAUUUGGGCAAAUUUGAGACAAGAAUUAUGGGACGGAGGGAGUAUGUUUCUUUGCAAACAGGUAAUUUGUACUCCCUCUGAUUGUAAAUUCUUGACUCAAAUUUGCCCAAAUAUGAAUGUAUUUAUUUUUAAAAAACGUCUAGAUACAUGUAAUAUUUCGACAACAAUUUAGAAUCGAAGAGAGUAGCUUUUUAUAUUUUUGACUGAAUAAUUUGUAGCCUUUUAUAUGCAAAACUCCUUACUCUUUGCAUGAUUCGUUAACUACCAGAAGUAGUACUGGUAUUAACUUUUGGGACACGGCCAAGAAAAAGCUAGCUAGCUUUAUCUAAACUUGUGCGGCCUGGACUGGCGCUGCCAUUUUCUGCUUGCUUGCAGCAAUUUGUUCACUUCUCUUCGCCCAAAGAACACAGUACAGGCCUCCAACCAUUAUCACUCCACUUGUUACACUGCAGGCAAAAACUAGAAAUUCAGCUAAAAAAACUCGAAUCUUUUUAACGAGAUGAAUGUAUAGUAGCUGAAUAGACACCGUACCUUCCCAGGGAAACUGAUUCUCCUAGGAGAAAUGAGGACAGCGCUAUUGUGACAAGCAGAGUUAUCGGCAUUGUCAUGGCCAGGAAGACUGGCCCACUCUUGUCUAUCACCCAUACUUGCAUGUAAUAGCCAACUCCAGAAAGAAGUAUACCCUGCAUGUUGGGCUCAUUAAUCUAAGCGUAAACAAAACAAAAGGGACAAUGUACGUAGUAACAUGUAUUCUAAUGAGUGGCAGGAUAAACAGAGGAAAUUGCAAUGACGUACUCCCUCCGUCCCAUAUUAACUAUCAAGUGACUUUCUAUUACAUGCAUCUAGAUACAUUCAUAUUUGGACAAAUUUGAGUCACUCAGUAUGAGACGGAGGGAGUACGUCAUUUAGGGCUCAGUGCUCUUUCUAUUACAUGUAUCUAGAUACAUCUAUAUUUGGACAAAUUUGAGUCACUCAGUAUGAGACGGAGGGAGUACGUCAUUUAGGGCUCCAAGAAACACGCUUUGAAAGAAGUAAGAUUCACUCUCCAGCCGUUAGAUCUAAUAAAAUGGACGGAUGAAGAAAAAAUACACGCACUGUAGAACUCCUCAAGUAAUGUACAGUUCCAAAUAGGCCCUAAAAGAUAUCCUGGAACUCUGACUUAGGUCAUUUUUUGAAAAGAAUCGUGGCCCGGUUGUUCAUUUUUUUUCCAUGUCGUCGAUGUACAAAUGAUCAUUAAAACGGAUGCACCAGGAAGAAAUUUUCGCUUGAAACUUUCUUAGUUUCUAUAUUCUCAAGUGCUGUCGAUUUCUCACUGCUACUUUUAUAACUCAUAAGAGGAAGAAUAAAGCAACUUUUAUGACCUAAAAUCUGAUGAUAACAAGAUUGUCAAAACUUUGUUCUCCUGGAUUAAUCAAAAAAAAUCUGGAGAGGUGUUGAACUUACGGAGUAAAGAACGGCAACAAGACCUGCAUCUAGUCCCAGCUUCCAUCGUGAAAAAUCUCUCUCGACUGCCAAAGCGAUGAAGAAAGACUGGAUAGUUGCAAAGAUCAUCUGGAGAGUUGUGUUGAGCAGCUUAGAGGGGUACGCCUCCAACAUAGGCCCCUGGGAAGUACUAUUCAGGUUAAAAUAGCAAGACAACCCCAUGUACACCAUUUGAUUCAGUAGUACUAUUAAUGUUUCCAAGCGGCUCUGUAAAAAAUCAUAUAUACCUGAAGUACUGUCCAGAGAGCCCAAGAUGAUGUGGAUAAAGUUGUCAAGAAAAUUCCUAAUACCCAACUUGUUUUAGAAUGAGCAGCCACAUCAUGGGUGGAACUUAAGUGGUGAAAGAGACGGUAAUGGUUGGGAGGUUUCAAUUCAGGUCCUUGGUAAAAUGCAAGUACGAUAACACCAGCAAUGCAGAAGACGAUGCCAGAAACCUUUGCAAUCCCGUGGAACCUCUUCAAGUUCAAAAACUCCAUCCUGCCAGGUAGAUGAUGUAGAUUCUUAAAUCUAAGUAUCCUCCUUAAGUUCUUAAGGAAAUCUGGAUAUAGUGUAAGUAUAAAACGAAACCCUUACCCCAACAGAAGAGCCAAAAAGAAAGCGACCACUGGUAGAAGGUUAAAUAUUGCAGAUGACGCUGUUGCUGAAGCAUAUUUGAGACCAAGGCAGUAUAUGUUGAUCGCCCCAGAAAUCCUAAGACAGAAGAAAAGGCGCAUAAAAAUAUUAAUGCAUGUACAAAUAGAAAACGUAAGUACGUGACUAAUUCAAAAGGUAAAAUGUUUUAAGAGAACAAACCAAUUGCUGCAUAAAUAACUAAUCGUUUCGACCAGCUUCUACAGAGGGACUAUCAGUUAGGAAACCUUUAUUACGGAAUUUAAAAUAGAUUUUUCUUUGGAACGGCAUAGCAUAACGCUUGAUUGCCCUUACUGAAGCUAAUCAGUAUGUUCUUUACAGCAACCGAGAGAAGGGUGGAUAAAAUUUUUGUACCUUGCUCUCUGACAAAGUUGGAGAGCAAAAUAACCAUCUGUAGUGCAUUUUACUAGAAAAAAAAGAAGAGAAACGGACAUACGACUGAGUGGGGAAACUGAAGGACUACAUGCAAACAUAGUUUGUUUGUUCCGAUAGAUUGUUUGGUCGACAAGGACUUCAAAAUGAACAUGCUGAACCUCUCCGAGUUCAGUAUAUGGUUACUAGUGCCACUUUAUUACAACCGAUGUUUCGCCAUGACAGCCAUUAUGUUCCGGAACAAUACAAAUCAGACUGAUGUGAAAGAAAAUAACAAAUUUCAGGAUAUAAAUCACAAUUUGACGUACCCAUAAAAUGCAUGCGCAAAAAGUUUGAGACAGACUUUGUAUGACAGUGGUGGAGCAGUUUUCCUGCACAAAGAAACCUUAAUCCGCGCUUCCAAGAUUGCAUAAUCCAGGUAAAUAAGCAGAGAAGAGAAACAUGCAUACCUUUCGAGCACAAACGCAAUAGGCACUAAGAACAGAAUAGCAGUUGCAUGCCUGUAGAAAACGAAGACAGACGUGCUCAUGCCUUCAUUGAAAGCAACUUUGGCAACUAUCUGCGCGCCUCCAUAUAUGGACCUUAUGAGGAAUGCAACCACGAAAGCUGCUCUAUUGCUCAUCAGAACAGUCUGAUUGAACGUAGGCAAUCGUAUUUGGUGUAGAGAACACACAGCUUGCCCAACUUAGUUAUGGAUGGCAGAUGGCAUAGCAGAAAGAAUUUUCAAGUGAAAGCUUGAGCACCUACAUUUAAAUAAGUGUAUCUUGCUGUGGAAACAUACUCAUUAACCACUACUCUAAAAAGUAAAAAGUGGCCCCGUCUAGAAAUGGAAAUCGUAAUCAAAGAGUAGUGAAGGAUAAACAAACAACACAAAGCAGUAAGAUAGCUAUGCAGUUUUUUGUAUGGUUUCGUAGCAGCUAUCUCUUCCUUCCUUCCCUUUUGUCUUUGUUUUCUUUGAUUUGUAUAAGAUCCCUCGCCUUCUCAGCAAUUCCUUCUAACGAAAAUGACACACACUUCGGUGCAGGUUCGAGAACAAAAACAUGACGGCAAACACACUCGCUCAUAGUCUCAACCAUCCUGCCUCAUAUCUAUAUAUGACGAUAUAUGAUGGGAAAAUAGACACAUGUUUUACAUUAACGUCUACUUCCUCCUUUUCACAAAGGUUGGCAUAUUUGGUUUCGUUAAGAUAAGGCUUUGAUCAAUCACAAACUUUAUUAAUAUGUGUUUAAUCAUACAAGAAAUUUAUAGCAAUAGAUUUAUCUUUAAAAGUUCUUGCUAAUGAUCAUGAUUUUGUACCAUAUAAGUUACAUAUUAAUAAUGUAAUUCUUCAUCGAAAACAUGUCUUAACAAAACCAAAUACGCCAACCUUUAUCAAAAAGAGGGAGUAGCUUGUAGGACUUAUUUGGACAGUAGCUAAAUGUCCGUGCUCUGCUACGAAAUUAAGAAUUUGUGUUAUGCAUGAGUUGUUUAAAUAAUUGUUUAAAUUUCUGAUAAAUAAGAAUUAUGUCAAAAUAUUAUUUUUGAAAAAUGCAAUUACUCUUGAAAGUCAUGAAAACCAAUCAAGCAUAGUCAAAAGAUCAUGAUACAUAUGAAAUAAGUGGCAAUUAGAUGAUUCCGUAGCUUUUAAGUGGUAGUCUUGUUAAAGUGAACUCAUGACCACCAACUCAGAUCUUUAUAAGUGUAAAGAUAAAGAUAACAAGUAAACGUAGAGAAAAUAUAGGAUAAUGAACACAUAAUCUGGAAUUACAACUACUUCUUAGCAAAUGAUUCAUAAUACAAAACAGUCGGUAAUUUUAAACUGAUUUUGUAGGGAUAAAAGAAAUAAAAGGUAAUGUGAGACAAUUUUGUAGACACGGUCCGUUGUUGUUUGUGCAACUGAGUAGUCAGUGUCUAAUGUUGAUUCCGUCAGGGCAUGCCCUUUCAAAACAUUACCCGAUAUGAUAGUCGUGCUUUGUCAGCAGUAGCUCAGAAAGAAUGGACAAGAAGACAUUUGGCAUUUGUUCUGACGCAUGCAUACACCAGGGUGAUAUCGACCGUCCAUAGUGGGGGAAUCACAUAUAAUACUCUUAUCCGUUUCAGUUUGGGAGAUCGUGAUUCCCUUUUAAUGAACAUUGGUGCACAAUUUGCACUAUUGCAUCAAACCUCCAGUUUGUGGAAGGGCCCCUUGGAUAACAUUGCACAUGCAAAAACCGAACAAGCAGUUAAGCUGCUAUGGUUGACUGCCAAGCAAACAGUCUACAGAAAUGGAGCAGCUUCCAGUCAGCAGACGAGGAGCGAAAGUACACCUAAUGACAGAGCUUGCUGCUCAAAGUUUCAGCUCUUUCAUAUCUGGUACUGUCUUGAUCGAAUCUUGCGUUGCUAGAACUGGAGCUGCUCGUUCUUGUUCCUCCAAAUCAAAGCAUGCUGCAUUUUCUCCACGACCUCCUUGCUUGCUGGUAGCUACUUGCUCUAUUCUUUUCCCCCAGAGGACAUUGUACAGACCACCAACCAUCAGCGCUCCACUUAUUACACUGUGCAUUCAGAAAAGAAAUUUCAAGAAAACGGACGCAAUGUCUUCUGUCUAAACAGCAAAGCUUAAGAAAUAAACCUUCCCAGGGUGACUGCUUCCCCUAUGAGAAGUGACAGGAUGGCUGUGAUAACCAGAGUUAAGGGUACUGUCAUGGACAGGAAUACUGGACCACUCUUGUCAAUUACCCAGAUUUGCAGGUAGUUUACAAAUGCAGAAACUACUAUUCCCUGCAAUGUUCAGUAAUUUCACAGGGCUCGGUUUUAUUUCUUUUGACUUCCACGGCAACAGCAUUCUAAUGAGUAAAUGAUUUGCUGCUGUUGUGAGAGAUACUUACACAAUAGAUGAUUGCGACAAGACCUACAUCCAAGCGCAGCUUCCAUCUUGAAAAGUCUCUCUCCAUCACUAGAGCCGUAAAAAAACUUUGAACAGUUGCAAACACAACCUGAAUUGUUGUGUUAAGCAGCAUUGAUGGAUACUCCUCCAGUACAGGGCCCUGGAAAGCACCAUCUAGGUUAAAUUUCAGCAUGAAUAAAUUAGCAUCUGGACAUGCACAAACGCCUGACUGCAUAAGCUUGUGCGCGUACAGAGCAAUCAAUACCUGAAGCACCGUCCAAAGAGCAAACAUUGCAGUUGCAAGAGACUGCAAGAGAAUUCCCAAUAUCCAAUUCCUUGAGGGAUGAGCAUCAACUCUACUUAUGUGAUGAAAAAGGGGGUGAUGGAUGAAAGAUUUCAGCUCAGGUCCUUGGUAUAAUGCUAGUACAGUAACACCAACAGCACAUAGCACUAUGCCAGAAACUUUCACAAUCCCAUGGAACCUCUUUAACUUCAGAGACUCCAUCCUAUCAUAUGUUGAACAACAAAUCACUCAUCGCUCCACGGAAUUUUGGACAUAAAAGGUCCCACUGUAUACAGAGCAAGGCAAGCCUAUUUUUUUAUUCUCACUAUCACUACAGUAAAUAUUCAUCAAAGCACUCCUUUCUUUAACUGAGGCCCUGACAUUAAAUGUUUUUAACAAAGGAGAUAUUUACAAGGGGAAGAAGAAUGUACAAUGUGAGGCAAAUAAGGGAUCUAGCCAAGUUGAUCAGACAGGGGAGUCAAGCCAAUCCUUUAAGAGGAGUUUCAUAUUAACCCCAAUCCCGAAAAUUUUGAAAUUAAAUGGUCAGUGAUCCAUUGGGUACAUUUUACUUUACAAAAAUGACAUUUUAGUAUAUAUUUGAAGGAACAUACUCACAAAUAAUAACAAUGGUACCCAAUUAGGCAUGUCUUCCAGUGUCAAAAGUAGCCCAAAGAAAUAUAAAUUCUCCCUCUGUUCAAAAAUAUAAGGCAUAUAACUUUUGCAGCCAUGUUAAUUAAUACAAGCCACAUAUCAAAUUACUUGAUACAGCUAGAGAAGUAUUAUUAGAUGUCAAAUUUCAGGUGGACUUAUAACGGUGACUGGUAUUACUCCCAAUAAAGAAAAUAAAGAACAAUAACUAUUUGACCACAGCAAAGUUAAUUAGAGAAAGAGUUGUCAUUCAAAGGUAUUAGGUAUUAUCUCCAUUCUUUUAUUUAAUCUUAAAUUCUUAAUAAAAGCUGAGCCCAACCAUUGCAUUGCAAACAUCACUCACCUGGUGAUAUCAUCCAGAAUAAUUAAUGCCACUUGUUAUGCAUUUCUCAGGCCCUGCUUGGCUAGUUUAGGCCAGGGCGGCUAAGUUAGGCAAGCUUGAGCGUAGUUUAGGCAUGGACAGGUUGGGUUUGACUAGGCUCAGCCUGGGACUAUAUACAACUGAAUUGAUUCUUAUAUUUCUUUGUUUGAACAAUUGUAGUUUCGACUCACAAAAGAAAAGAUACUUCUAUCCUGUUGUCUAAAAAAUGAAUAAUAAUUAUUCAAAUCAUGAUAUAAUCAUUUCUUUUGCCUGUAAACAUCUCUACACUAUAAUCUCAAUUAUGGCCAACACAAGUACUUUAUUCUCGUAAUCAGAACAGCAACAUUUACGCAAUCUAUACUUCUGUAUAAUAUAUAAUUCAUGCUAUUUAUGUAUGGGUAUCAGAAAACCAAAUUCACCAAGGUUAGUUUUAUGGAACAUUUAAUUUUAGGCAUGAUAGUCGCAAGAUAAAGGGAAAUAUGUUCUGGUCUUCUAGGAACUCUUGCAACUACAAUUAAAAAACACAUACCCCAACAUAAGAGCCAAAAAGAAAGUUAAAACCGGCAAGAGAUUUAGUACUGCAGAAGCAGAUGUUGCUGAAGCAUAGUUGAGGCCAAUAGAUGAUAUGUUAAUAGAAGCAGACAGCCUGGGCAAAUGGAACAAAGAAGAUAGUCAAAGAUUGCAUACCUACAAAAUAAUUAGCUGCAUAACAUUUAUAGAAAUAAAAUCAACCAGUUAAGCAACCUACAAAAAGGAAACUCCAUAGCAGUUUCUACGUAACGUCUCCCAUUUAUUUUGUACUAAAGAAGAAAAGAAUAGGGAUAAAAAACCACUGCGCACAAGUGCAAGAGUACACAUAUAUGCACACAACCAAAGAGAAAAGUUACAAGCAUGGAAUGUCUGUCAAGCACACUUGACACAAAUGAAAGCUAUUUUUGUCAGGCAUACUUGAGGAAAUGAGAGCUAUGUUUGCAGAGCAAGAAAAAUAAAAGGCAAAGAAAAAAAAAAGAUACUCUGGGUCUGUUGUAGCCCACAAAAAAGUAUGGUAAAAUUGUGCACAAUAACUACUUUACAUAAUUAUUAGUUCUGCACAACAUUUGAAAAGAAUGUAAAUCAGUUAACCUAAUUAAAUAACUUAUUUUUCCUAGAAAGACAAACCACCAUUUCCACAGUUAGAUAUAUUACUGGAAAAAUAGAUUAAAUUUGACCUAAAUUUCCUAAAUUUAAUCAUUCAUUCUGCAGAAAAGGCCGGCUUGCUACUGAUGAAGAUGAGUACUAUAAUGAAAAUCAAUACAACUGAGGGUAGAAUUAACUGAAACAAAAGUAAUAUUGUGUAUUAAAAAGUUAUGCAUGGUUGGCAAAAAAAAGUAUGCAUGCAUGGACCCAAAAGAACUUCACAUAUAUGAAUUUCGACAAGAAUUAACAGAAUGACACAAUUACGUAGAGCAACAAUUCUGCCUUGCACUUUGACCUACCCAUAUAAUGCAUGCACAAAUAGCUUCACACAGACUCUGUAUGACAGUCGGGGGGCAGUUUUCCUGCAAAAAUAAACCUCAUGGUUUCCAAGAUGACAUACAGAUUCAGGAAAAUCAGCAACCAAAUUGCAUACCUUUCAAUUGCAAAAGCAAUUGGCACUAAGAGUAUGGUAGCUACUACAUGCCUGUAGAAAACAAGGACAGAUGUACUUGUGCCUUGGUUAAAAGCAACUUUGGUAAGUAUCUGCAUCACUCCAUAGAUAAACCUUAUGAGCAAUGAAACAGCGUAUGGUGCUAUAUUGCCCAUUCCUCUUGUUUGUUAGAACUUUGAAGAUGAUUGCUCAAAUACUACUACUUGCACAUGAAGACAGUCCAUCAAACCUUUAUAGUGCCUCGCAAAAAAAAAAAAACCUUUAUAGUGAUGAGGCUUGUUCGAUAUGACCUCAUAGGUAUCCACUUAAGCAAAUUAUACUAGUAUUUCACUACAUAGAGACCACACAAGUCACUCGCUUUAGUCAUGGUUAAAAAAAGAUAACAAAAGGUUUUUAGGUCUAACAAGUUGGUUACAUCAUGCUUUGCAACUAGAAUUAACAUGGUGUAAGACACCAAUUUCGCAACAAACUAGACAUCUCAUUCCAAGGUGCCUGAAUACUUAAUGGAAAGCAUGAUGCAUCUGCUUAAAAGCAUGUCCGUGUAGAUUUGGAGCAUCCAGCACUUAUUGCCCCAGAACAAAUGAAAAGUCGUCUGCACUAUCAGUAUUAUUCAUUUCAAGGACAUUGAUUUUCUAAGGAAAAUGAAGUAGGAAAUUCAAAGAGCUUGACUUCCAGGUCAAGGUAUCAAGAACUACAUUAAUUUCUCAUACAUAUUUCAUUAAACAAGAUGGUCAUACAUCAACCAUCAUUAGCCUUGUGUAAAAAAGAUUUAAGAGAAUUAUGGUACCACGAUUUUAAGUAGAGGUAAGUAUUAUGUUUCGUCCCCCAACUUUCACGGAAGUAUACAUUGGUUCCCUUGUGUUUUGUUCGUAGAUAUUUCGUCCCUCGGCUAUCGAAACCGGAUACUUUUGGUCCCUCGACCCACCCAAAGCGGUAUUGGGGCCAAUGUAGAGCGGUUUUGCGUCCGACUUGCAAUAUGGUUGGCUCCACUGCCGUCUCUCACUCGCGUGCGCCUGCUCCUUGCCUUCCUUGGCACUCUCCAGGGCCCUCUUCCCCUCCUCGGUGUCACCAGCGUCUAGGAUCCGCAGUGUGAACGCACAUUUGAACCCCGAGGACUGACGUGGUGCCCCCAUGUGCUCCCCUGGGGAUGGCCAUGUGACAUGUCAGAUGCAAAGCCGUUCCAUGUUAGCACCAAUACCGUUUUCGAUGGGCCAAGGGACCAAAAGUGUCUAGUUUUAACAACUGGGGGAUGAAAUAUCUACAGAAAAAUAUAAGGGACUAAAUGUAUACUUUCGUGACAGUUGACGAGGGACAAAAAAAAUAUAUUCUCAUUUAAGUAAAUUAUUCUAAACUGUUAGAAACGCAUUGAAGGUAACUGCUGAUACUAUAAUUUGUCGAACAUGCACAAGAUGUUCAGUUCAAAAUUAAAGCUUAUGCAUAUUCCUACAGAAAAAAAUGGUUUCAAUAGUUCUAACUCUCAAGCGCAAAGGUGACUCAAAUGCUUUUCACGUAUUCUGUACAAAAGGUGAUACUCCAUCGAAGUAGGGAAGGGGGGGAUUGAUCUUUUUUUGAAUCAGGCCUUACUGACCAAGUGGUGGUAUAAGCUUCAUUGUGGAUGAAAAGAAGUCCUUGUGAGCGGGGCUACAAAAUCCAGGGGCUUCCACUAUUUCUUUUCUUGCUUUAUUUUACAACAGACAGGAGUCAGAAAUUGGUUUCUCAGUAUAACUCAACUAAACAAAAGAAGGAUGCCCUAAGACCUAAUUAGCACACAAGGACCUGUUCUUUCUCACUAACUAGUAGCAUUAGGCUUGCCCUUUAUAUACAUAUAUGUGACCGGGGAAUAAAUUACUCUUAGGAAUUAAAGAAACUGCACUCACGAAUAAAAAAGAGGUUAUUCGUAAACAAAUGAGAGCUUUUCAGUGACUGAUAUGUACCUUCUCUCUGUUUUUCAAUAUGAGAUUCUUAUUACGAUUGUUAAAGCAACUCAGUAACAGCUGGACAAGUAUAGCAUAAUGCAUUGUUCCACUGAUGGAAACGAAGGUCCCAGAUGUAAAAGGAAGAACAAGUUUUUGGCAGGAAAAACAAAGUGAAGGGAACAAUGAGCAGAAAUUUUUGAAACUACACUUGAAAUACAUUUGAUAAAACUUGGCCCUAUUUUUUACAUUAAUUAUUUCAACUUUGUUUAUCAUGCAGGAAAAUAGUACUCCCUCCGAUCCAUAAUAAAUCCCUCCGAGCCAUAGUAAGUGUAGGAGAUUUAGUACAAACUUAGUACAACUUUUUACUAAAUCCUCGACACUUAUUAUAGAUCGGAGGGAGUAGUUUUUUAAUACAGUAGCAACUUAACAGCUGGAAUUAGCAUCAUGACAAAGCUAUCUUCUCUAAGCACAUCAGCAAGUAUGUAAUUCAUGGGUGCAAUUUUGUUCACCAGGCAUGAAAAUUGCAGAUAGCAACCAACUGGCUAGAAUUAAUAAAAAUACCACAGAGCAUUUAACUCUAAGAAGCAAGAACACACUCAAGGGGAAAUUUUAGUAAAUGGUGGUGAAUUACUGAAUUGCAUGUAAACACAAAAAACAUACAAAUCUCCAUAGUGUGGUGGACAUCAUGUAAAACAUUAUGCUAGCCAUUUUGAUUUAACCACAGAAGCACAUCAGCUACUGAACAUCCUUGCCGAUGCCAAACAAAACAGAGGAUGUCCACAUACUGCUUAGAUUAAAAAGGCCGGCUUGAUUUCUUCUUCCCAAAGAUCACCUCCCAAACAACCGGUGUGAAAGGCCCUUUCUUGUCCAAAUGUUCCCGGAUGGACUUCUCAUCAAUGGCAAAGUUCCUAUCCUGGAAGCUCUUCACAAGCUUCUCACCCUCCUCAACCCCCUUCGACUUGCAUACUGCAUCAACCAAGCCCACAAAAGUUGCAGCAUUCGGCGAGUGCCCAGCCUCAAACAUCUCCACACAGAAACCAACCGCAUCAUCCAGCCUGUUGCCCUUGUACAACCCCUGUAUAAUCAACCAGUAGCUGAAGGCGUUUGGUAUGACCCCAUUGCCCUGCAUCUUCCUGAAGAUCCUCACAGCAUCAUCCAGCUUGGCUGCCUUGCAAAACGCCUCAACAACGGCGGUGUAGAUGACGACCUCUGGGAUGGCGCCCUUCUCACGCAUCAGACCAAACAGCUUCAUAGCCUCCUGCACGAGCCCGCUCUUGCAGAGCCCAUCUAGCAUGGCGACAGCGUUGGGUAUCAGCCCCGUCUCUUUCAUCUUCCGGAAGAUCUCGUCCACGUCCUCCGACUGCUGUGGCUGCCCUGGUGCGUUCUCAGCCUGCUGCCCCUCGGCAGUGUUUCCCGCUGAGGCGGCAGCAGUGGUGGCAUCGCCCAGCUUAAGCUUCUCCAUCAGCGACUCCCCGAUGGCUUUCUGAGGGCUCCCUUCCGGAGGCGGCUGCUGCUUCCGGCCGGCACGUCUGAGGAUGUCAGUAGGGAAGGGGGCGGAGGAGGAGUCGGGGGCUCCCCCUUCGCGUCUCGGCGGUGGGGGUAGGGGGUUGUUCUCCGGGUCAGCCCCGAAGUUGAGGGUGCGGAGGAAGGCCUCGUCCUCUUCCUCAUCCCGGGCCUCGCGGAUCAUCCGGCGACGACGGUCGCCGGUGGAAUAGGGCCGCCGUAUCCCGGAUUCUCCGCCCAGCAGGAGGAAUAGGCGGAGGCCGCGCGAUCUCGCCGGAAUCUGCAGGCUCAUCAUCUCUCUCUCCCUCUCUCGUGGCGGCGGUGGAGCACGGGGGUAGCCGCAGAAGAUGGGGAAUGGGGUUUAUGCUGCGUGUCGGGCCCACAUGUCAUGCGCACAACUCGGAAGGGUUUCGGUUUGAAGGAGGCGAAGGGGAAAAGGGUCUCUGCAAUAUCAUGUGCCUCGCCAAGUCGCCAUGUCCAAGGCCGUGUCACGCAUUCCGUCGAGCACCCUGGCCUCCCUCCUCCCACGCGCCCUGAACCCGCACGUCACCGUCGUUGACCUCGUCACGGCCCACCUCACCGCCGCCGUAGACUCUGAUCCCGAAGAUGAGGCCGCCAAACCCAUCAACCUCGCCGGCCUCCUCCCCUACCUCGGCCACGAGGAACUCACCGCCGUCGUGCUCCGCGCCGGCCACUCCCACCCGCUCCCCACCCUCCGCUUCCUCAUCGCGCUACCGCCGCCGCUGCAACCGUCUCCUCCCCACCUCGCGUUCCUCGCGCAUUCCCUCGCCACCACCCGCUUCUUCUCCCACGCACUCGACGCGCUCUCCCACCUGCUCCGCCUCCACCCAAGCCACGACGCCCUCCCCACGCUCCUCCUCUCCUCCCAGACCGCGCCCCACCCCUCCCUCCCGGGUCUCCUCGUCAAGGCGCUCCUCCGCCACGCCCGCCUCCGCGACGCAUUCCGCGCCGCCCACCGCGCGGCCGCUGCUGGCGCCCCUCCCGACACCGUCGCCUUCAACGCUCUCCUCGCCGCGCUCUCUCGCGCGGGGCGUUUCGAUGAACUAUGGGCCGCACGAGCCGUCAUGGCGCGCGCCGAGGUGCGACCCAACACGCAUACCUUCAACAUCCUUGUCACAGCGCUCUGCCGUGGGGAGGAUGCCGAGCGCGCGCAGGGGUUCUUAGAGGAGCUGGAGGAGCAAGGGUUCGAGCCGGACGUGGUCACCUACAACACCCUCCUUUCUGGUUACUGCCGCAGGGGGAAGCUUCAGGACGCACUACACCUGUUCGGCGUUAUGCCACCCAGGGGUGUUGAGCCGGAUUUGGUGUCACAUACUGUUUUGAUGGACGGGCUGUGCAAGGCCGGGAGGUUGAACGACGCUCGCCGCAUGUUUGACAGGAUGGUGCACAGUGGGGUGAGCCCCGAUGCCAUUGCUUAUAGUGUUCUUAUCGCAGGGUAUUGUAACGAGCAGAGAGUCAGGGAGGCAAGGUUGCUGCUGAUGGAGAUGGUGGGGAGUGGGCUCUCCUCUGAAGGAUUCGCUCUCAGGGCUGUGAUUGAGAGCCAUGUAAAAGUUGGGAAGCUGCUCACUUGCCUGAAUCUUGUGUCACCUUUAAGGAAAUAUGGCGUUGUCAUCCCAUUGGAGAGUUACAAUUGCUUGAUUGGUGCGCUGUGUGAGGACAUGCGCCCUCAUGCUGCCAGGGGUUUGUUCAAGUGGAUGGUAGAGGAUGGGCAUAGUCCUAGCUUGGAGAUGUACAAUAUGAUUCUGGACUGCUUAUGCCAAUGUGACAGUGUGGACGAUGCUUUAGAUGUCAAGGUUGAGAUGAGCUCUAGAGAAGUGAGACCAGACUUUCAUACUUACCAGGCCCUAGUAACCUGCCUUUGUAGGUUGGGGAAGAGCUUGGACGGCAAAUCAGUAAUGGCAGAGAUGAUUGAGUCAGGUCUCCAGCCGAAUGAAGCUAUUUGCACUGCCUUGGUUUGUGGGUUCUGCAAAGAAGGAUAUCUUGAUAGGGCAGAAUUGAUCCUCAAGGCUUUCGUUCUCGAUUUCCAGCUCCACUGCAAUGAGAGCUAUAAUGCUCUAAUGAGAGCUUACUGUAUGACCAGGAGCACCUCAGAGUCGCUAGAAUUGCAGAACAGGAUGUUAGAUUUGGGCUUUGUCCCAAGCAGCGAGACAUGCCGAUCUCUCAUCUAUGGGCUCUCAAGAAGCAUUGCUUAGAUGGUUAACCUGUAUUACUUAGCAUGUGAAUUCCAACCAUCUUAAAUUCGUAAUGAAUGGUCUAUAGAACUGCUUAAGGAUGAUUAAAGCACCGAUGAAUUGAGCCAUGGGUGAUGAGCCAGAACAUUUGUGAAAGGGCUGUGGAAGAUGGAUUGUCUAUCUGAAAGAUGUUUGAUAUGGUAUGGGUUUACGCAAUGCUCCUCUUACAUGGAUUUGCUGUCUGAACUGAAGCAAAUUGUAGUCUGCAUGAUUAAACUGGUGAAUAGUGAGCAGACAUAUGCAUUGAUCAACUCUCUUCUGAUUGCUUAGUGGGCAAUAGCAACGCUGAGACCCAAGAUAUGCUGAUUGAUGGCCAUGUAUACUCCUCACCAUACUGUUUGCUUUGGACUGAAGAAACCUUUGUAAAGCCUUCCAUGAGAACUUUGCCGACUUAUGCCAAAAAGGUUGCGGUAUGUCUGACAGCCGCUGGGAAGAAGAAUGGUAGUCUACAAGAGGGAGCUUGUGUGGGGAAGAAGCAUGGGAAUCUGCUGAGCUGAAUUCCAAUCCCCCGGGAUCCUGGUAACAGUCGCUUUGGCGAACUGCUCUGGGUUUUGACCUUGUGGCACCAUGGAUCAUGGUCUGACGGCAAAGGCACAAAGUUUGACAAUUCGGAAAAUGCAGAAGCUUGUGAACCUGUAUAGCUUUCUCAUCGCAGUUUCUGCAGUUUGCUAGGUCAAGGCCACAACACAAUCUUCCUAUCUUGCACAGUUACCAUGCACACUAGAGAACCAAUGCUUAUAGAAAUAGUGAUCAAGACCGGUAUCUUCGGCAGUUUCUCCAAAUCUGGUUCCCUAUAUGACGGGAUUCUUUGUAAAAGAUUUCUCCUCCAAAUAUCUCUCUCCUCUGGAGCAGAAUCCUCGAAGUUCAUACUGUAUAUUUCACUCUUUUAUAUUUUAUUUUUAUUAAUAGUCUACAGUAAACAAUGUAUUUAUAACACAAUUAAGCAUACUAAUGGUAUCACAGCACGAUCAAAACAUCAGUUAACAUUAUACUCCCUCAUUUUCAGUCUGCCUAUCUCAAAAAUCUCGCACUUUUAUUUUAUAAACCCAUUUGCUUGAAAAAAACGAUAAUUAAUUACAUCUACACCAUUACUUCUAUCUUAAGGUUGGUUGGUUGGUUGGUUUCUUAAUGUGAAACCAACCAACCCAUGAAGGGAAUUGGUCUGCAUACAUACUUCAUUAAUAAUCCCUCCUUCCAUUUGAGAAAUCUUGGAAUGGACUUCUCAAGGACCCAUCAAUUUAGUUUCAACAAAAAUAUUAAGGUAGAAGGUAUGUGUUGAAGGAUAGAAGUGGAUGCUCGAAACAUUACUGAGUGAGAAAAGUUUGUUUUCAACCCUGUACUCGUAGACGAAGUUCGAGAUGAACCUUGACUUCUUAAUCCCUGAAAUCGGGACCCUGACCUUGUUAAUCUCGGUCAAUUAUGACCUUAAUUAAAGUUGUUUGGCACACUAGGAAAAGGAUGAUCCCGGUCGGGAUUUAUACUUUAAACCUUGAUCUUUUAGGCAAAGUCUGAAUCGGACCCUAACCUCUUAAUUCUUGGAUUGCGAAUCCUAACCUUACCAAUCCUGAUUAAUUAAAAUCUUUAUUCCUAGAAAAUCUAUUUUCUGGACUGGUCAGGAUUGCUAAGUAACCACCACUCAUGCAUCUUUGUCUUAUUAGGAGUCACGGUUGUCUUCUUCGACGUCACUGACCUAUGACAUGACCAGCCCAUGUGGUCAUCCAAGCUAUUCGAUCUGCACAACACGGUGAUAUGAUGAUGGCAAGAGAUCGUCACAUUGUAAAAAUUAUCUUCACAUGUGCUAAGUCGAGAAUGUAUCAAGCUAAACAGACAAACAUAGUAAGCCCAUCGUCAACAUAGACGCAAAUCACGAGAAUUUGUAAGCUUUCUGGGAUUAAUGGUCUUAAUUAAUCGGGAUCAAUAAGUUCAGGGUUCGAAAUCCAUGGAUUGGAAUUUGUUAAGGUUCGAUUCAGACUUUGUCUUUACUUGAGUGGAGGUCAGAAGCUGUGAGCUUUUUUGUUUGCACACACCAGAAGGUGUGAGUUAAGUCAUUUGACGAUGUCAGCAGGCAUACACGCUUGGACUUGGGUUUGGCUGAAUGCAGGAAGGAAGGAAUCUGCGAUCAAACUAAAUCGUCGUAAAAAGAUCGUACGUAGAACGUCGUAUGUAGAGCAGUUUCAUUUUUUUUAAUCCGUAGCCACGCAGUGGUGUGGUGCUGGUAGCUAAAGAACGAUCGAGUGCAUGCUCAAAACGCGAAUUCAAAUCCGUGACAUGGCUGGCUAUAUUCAGAAAUCCUGAUGACGCGAAUUCCAAUCCUUGACAUGGCUAGCCAUCCGGAAAUCCUGAUAAUGCGUGUCAUUGUCCGGUACACGCCCUCACGUGCAGCGGACCAGCGGUGCAGGUAUACGGAUUCCGAGUUCGAAUCGUGAACCCAAGUCCGUGGGUGAGUCCGACUCGAACUAGCAGUAGAGCAAAGGUCUUUCGCGUUCGGCCGAGCCUAUAUAUAUGAGGACGCAGUAACAAACUGGUCGCCCCACCACGCACCAAGGCUUCACGCAUUUUCUCGUACAGAGGAGAGCGCACAAGAGGUUGCCCUAAUUCACUAGUUCCCGGCCGGCCGGCCGCCUUGAUCAAGAAGACCCGGGACUGCCACAUGGGGUACGUCGUCAACCCGUUCGCGUGCGUGGGCCUCGGCGGCGGCAACAAGUCGGGCAGCAAGCGCGCCGCGAAGAAGAAGAAAGCGGAUGAUGAUCAUCCUGCAGCACCGGCGCCGGUCGUCGUCGACCAGAGCGCGGCCGCGGCCGCUGCGUCGCCGCCAGUCGGUAAGACGAAAGCAAGAGGCAAGAAACGUGGUGGCCGCGGGGGCGAGGGAGAAGCUGCUGCGGCGCGCGGUUGUGGUUGGUCCGCCGCAUCGGCCGCUGUAUAGCUACAACACCGACGUCCUCGCCAGUACCAUGUACAUCUACGGCAGCGUCGCCGGGAUCAUGUGUUAAGGAGUAGUUAACUUUGGGACACAGACUAGCUCUAGUUGAUUGUACCCCAUCAAAGUCCAUGACCCUUAGUCGUACUCGGCUAGCUGCUUGCCUUUUGCUGCUGGCGCUAGCUAGUUCACUUGUAUGUGCAACGUGUAAUUUUGACUAUUGUGAAUCUCAUGAAAUUAGCAAGAAAAAUUGCAUAUAAGGUUCCAUGUAUGUCACAAAGGUAAAAUGUGAAAUUAACCAGUAAUAAAGUUUACUUGUAUGUACAACGUGUAUUUUAGUUUUGAUGAUUGUGAAUUGUGUACAACGGCGCGGAGCUGAUCUCACCAUACCUAGCCGCCGGAUGUCUUCCGACGUGCCACACACGUGAAGGAGUUCAUAAAGGUAGACGAUUCGAUGGAUUUACUGAAUAAAUGGAGGCUAGAAGGGGUUCUACCAAUGAUUUUGAUAUAACGCUUUCUGGAAAUGAAGGCAAAAGCUUUGCCUAUUUUAUCGAUUAAUUAAGCAGAGUAACAAGGAGAACAAUUAAAGGCACUACACGCGGGCACUAUACACACGUUUUCAUAGCGUACGUGAUUUGAUAUAGUAGAGGUUAAUACUUUUACUAUAAUUUGGUCAAAAUUCAGAAGUUUGAUAGCCAACAAAACUCAUACGCAUAUAGUUUGAAAAGGAAGGAGUAUGUCGUUGAAGCUUUUUAGCGACCACGUUAUGGAACACCAUCAAAGAAGGAUUCGGCUCAAUUUAUGGUUGUUUCUUAAAUUAUACCAUAAUCUAUAGCCAAAAAAUAAUCACGGGAUCAAGAAAAUUAAAAACUGACUAAAAGUAUCAUAAUCUAGCAAAGAGCAAUCUUAUAUGAGACAACACUGCAUGAGCCGCAUAACUAAAGCGGCCAAGCAGGUGGCUGUUUAGUAUUUUUUUUGCAGCUUAAACAAAUCCAUGCCAGUCACACCCUACCACUUAAACAAAAUUACAAGGAAACUGCCGCUCCGACACCGGCCCGAGGGCAUGUACAAUGGUUGAUAAGACGGCCUUAUCUUAGGUGUUCCACGCCAUUUAGAAAAAACAACAAAACAUGUUGUACAAUGAGUUAUCUCUUAGUGUUAUAUCUUAGAAUUAAUGCUUAGAUGAAUAAAAUUAACUAAAUAAAUGCUAAGAAAAGGCAAAAUCUAGUACAAUGAGAAAUUUGCCUUAUCAUUCUUGUGAAGAGAUCAUCUCUUAGUUAAGAGAAUGCUUGUGCAUUUUCUUCAUUUCUCUCUCUUCCACGUCAGAUUUUAUCCUAUAUGGCAUCGCUAAGAAAAGGCUGACGUCACCCCAUUAUACACGCCCUUAAUGAAUACACAUUGUAUUGGAUGUAAUAGAUUUUUUUUUCAAAAAGAGAAGGAUCUCCGGCUUCUGCACCUUUUUUAUUGCGAAGUUCACAAGAUCAUGCAAAUCACUUACCAGAGGUCGUGGAUAGAAAAAUGAGACAGCAAAUAUCAAACAUAUUGAGUCUAUACAUUUAGCAAUCGACUGGUACACCACCAGCCAGCCCGGUCGAAAAUAUCCCGAGAGACCAUUUUCAAACGCAUCCAAUAUCUGAAGAUUCCCGCUGAUGCACAGGGAGCAAAAAAGAUCAUAGGAGAAUCCAGGGCUUUGGAUGCAAUAGAUGGAGAAGGAGUUCGAUAAAUGUGACGAGAACGAGGACUAUAUGUCAGGAGAGAUUGCAGGUACCGUACCAUUGCAACCUUGCAAGUAGCCUCAUGUUCACUUGAUGGGGUCAAUAUGAAACACCUUUCGUGAUGCAAUUGAGAGAAGAAUAACUUUCUUUGUUAUGCAAUUGCUAACUCUAUAAAUGUAAGAUAUGUCUCAACAAGUGAUGUCUUUUUGUGAAUGUCUACUACUAGACAUGUAGUGAACGUGUACGACUUCCGAUGACUUUUGUUAGUUCCAUCAAUUUUGUAUAAGGAAUCAAUCAUUUUGUUCAAUGCAUCGUUAUUUAUGGUCUACUAGCCAAAAUUCAUCUAACUAGAAAAAAAAUACACAUACAUUUUCAUGGUAUGAGAAAAAAGAAGUUACUUACAUUCUCAAGACACACCAAUAUGAGUUGAAUGGUAUUAUCAAUUUCUUAGCAAGGGUAUUUCAGACAUUUGAUUCCACAGCCACAGCUGAACAGACAGUUUGCUGAACAGCUUUACAGGUUGCCCAAGGCAGACAACCCAGAGCUUUUUUUUUUUUGAGAACCUCACAACUGCUCACAAACUAACCAAAUGGUGCAUAAGAGCAAAGCAAGUAGCAAACUUGUCUGUGAAGUUGACCGGUUUAUAGAACUGAUUGUUAAUAUCACUUCACUUAUUAUAAGUUGACCAAUUUGAUUGUUGUAUUUCUAAAAAAGAAAAGAAAUAUGAUUAUCAUAUGACAGCUUUUUUUAAAAGAAUAUUAUCAUAUGACAGCUAUAUAUGAUCUCAUACAUCACCACAGCUACAAAUUACUCGAAGAAUCUUUUGUUGUGACAGGAUUACUCGAAGCCUAGUUAAUUACCAGAAUCAUUACGAAAACUAGCAGGAUUUCGUUUUGCCACGUUCGUACUAAAAAGACGAGUAUACCGGCCAAAUAUCCAACAGGCCAAGGAAGGGCCUAGGCUCCACUGCAAAACGCCGCCCCAGCGAAAGAGCAGAGAAACUAGGCCCUCGCUUCCUCGCUGGACCAGAUGGAAGGCGGCGGCGGCCGCCGCGGCGCCGGUGCCGGCAGACGCGUGAAGGUGGUGGGGCAAGUAGAGCGGGUGGACGGGCGGUCGCUGACCUACCCGGAAUUCGUCGAGCGCUUCAUGAAGCCAAACCUUCCCGUCGUCCUCACGGGCCUCACCUCCUUCUGGCGAUCCUGCGAGGACUGGACACUUGCCACUCCCGACGACCGCUGCCGCCCCAACCUCGCCUUCUUCGCCCAAAACUUCCCCUCCCCCCUUGUUCAGGUACCCGCUACCGGCUUCUCCCUCCUCAUCCUCGACGCAUCGUCACACUAGCUUAGAUGAAUAAUUUUAUGAUUAGCAGCGUACGUGUUGGUUUCGCAGGUUGCCGACUGUUCCUCCAGGGAGUUCACUGACCAGAAGCGGCUCGAGAUGUCCAUGCAAGAAUUUGUGGACCACUGGGUUGGCAAAUUUUGCAAUGGUUCAACCAACGGUGAUUCUGAAGGUUCCCUGCUUUACCUGAAGGAUUGGCAUUUUGUUAAGGUCUGUCCUGAUUCCAGAGUACGCUCUUUUCUCGACCUUACUAUUAAAGAUAUGGUAUUGCAGGAGAGAUUAGUAGUACUAAUCACGUUUCUACAAAAUCGACCCACUGUUUUGUAACAUAUUUUCUGUACUUUCAGUUGAAGAUGUAACGUUGGCAGUAUGAUAAACUGAGAUUUUUAGUGUUAUUUAUUUUGGUUUCCAGUGAUCAAGAGUCAUAGCCAGUGCAACACUUGUCAGAUUUAUGUUUACUAAAUUUAUUCUUUUGCUACAACAUGGAACAUUGUUUUCAAACACAUGCUAUUUGAUAAUUUGUAUAUCAAAUUGUCACCCGUUUGGUAAUUGUUUAGACUUGACUGUGAUGCAUUUUACUUUUUGGAUGAUAUGUGCGUAUGGCUCCUGAAGAGUGAGCUCCAACCCUCUGCUAUCUCAAACAUUUGAAUGCAUCUUUUCAAGCUGAUAUCUCAUCUCCUGCUCAAUGUGGUUGUCAUUACAUUUUUGUCUUGAUCUUUCAGGAGUACCCUGAUUAUGUUGCAUACACCACACCAACAUUCUUUGUUGAUGAUUGGCUCAACAUGUAUCUUGACAGUCAUCCCAUGCAUAGAGAUCCUGACAUUGCCAAUCAUAAGAAUGAAAUAAACUGUGCUGACUAUCGUUUUGUUUACAUGGGAGCAAAAGGUAACUUCUGAUUGAACAUCUGCCUUUAUGUUCUAUUUAGCUUCUGCUUAUGUGUUUUUACAGCCUUUGCAUUAUGUGUUUCUGCAAGUCCCCAUAUGUUACACGUUCAAUGAGAUUGCUCGUAAUUAAUUAAUCUGAUCUUUAGGGACUUGGACUCCUCUUCAUGCUGAUGUUUUUAGGUCAUACAGCUGGUCGGCAAAUGUGUGUGGGAGAAAACUAUGGCUGUUUCUACCGCCAUCACAAAGUCAUCGUAUUUUUGAUAGGUACUUUGAUGUUGGAUACUCCUUAUGCAUUAUAUUCUUUAGGACUUCUACGGCAUGGAAUGUAGCAUCAGACAAGAACAGAAUACGUAACCUUUAUGAGACUAUAUGAGCUGCCAAUAAGAGGAAAAUCGAUUCACAUUGUGCUCUCUUCUCCUUGAUUCUUUUCUUUUUUGCAAGGUGCUCUCUGUUCGUCAUUAACUGGAAAGUUAGAGACACUAGUGAGUCCGAUUGCUAUUUUGAUAUGUUCUUUGAUGCUCCAUAGGGCAGGCACCUCGCUUUGUUAUUUCAGAGGUUGAGUUGACUCUGCUUAGAAAUUUGUUUGCUUAUUUUUCAUUCAGUUACUUAUGCUUGCUCUUACUAGUGUAUCUUGUUUUCACGAAAAUCUUAAAUUAAGGCUAAACUUGGGCAGCUUAUUUUGCAAAUGAAAUGGGAUGUACUCUUAGGACUUCAUUUUUGUUUUACUGAAAACUGUAGGUGAGGCUCCAGCAGUAAAUGAAACAUAAUUACAAGUAGGGGAAUUAAUCGAGCCAGGCCUCAAGUGGAGCAUCAAACUCCUCCUUUAAUCUAAAAUAACGCAGGAAUAUAUCCUUCUUGAAAAGCAAAAGCCGAGAGCCUAUACUAGGGGUCACAUUGUCGAAAAUCUUCCCAUUUCGCUCCUUCCAGAGAUGCCAGGCUGCCAUGACGAGAACCUCCAUGAAGAAGGGCUCAUUGAAGUUUGAUUUCACGCCAGCAACUCAGAGCUCCACAUCAUUGUCAGCUAUUAAGGGAAUACCAUUGCGGGACCAGCAAGCUUUGCUGAAUGAGCAGUCCCAGACGAACUUUACAUUCAUUUAAAGUCACAACUUCCUGUUGCAGUAUAACAGUCUCUGCUAGGUCAUCCAAAAGGAUGUUUAGUUCUAAAUCAUACGACCUAAAUGUUCAGAAAUAACUUAUGCUAUGUUAAUUUCCAGAUUACAUGACAAUUGUCUUGUGUUCUGAUCUAUGAAUGAAUUCUUCUUGGUCUAUCUGUGUCCUCUUUGAGCACAAGGCAAAUAUGAUGUAACUUGUUAGUACGAUUUGUUUCUAAGUGAUUCCUUAUGCCAAUUGGGGUAACUUUCGCAUUUGACCCAAGGGAGGAUCAAAUCAGAAUUGCACCUUUUGAUGGAGCUUUUUUUCUCUCUUUAAAUGCACAAGGCAACAAUUUGUUGUUUCUUGUUAAGCGAUUUCCGUAUGCCAAUUGAUGUUACCUUAGCAGUUGAUCUAUUUUUUGUUUAUUCAACUCUGUGCUGUCUAAUUUUCUGCCGUGGAAAAUUUUCUGCUGUUACUUAAUCAGUGAUUUGUAGGAACCUACGAUCAUCGGUCUAUGACAUAAAUGAUGAUGUUUCUGGAAAGCAGUUUCCUGAAUUCAAUAAGGUACUGCAUCCCUCCACCCUGCCCCACACACCACCUCCCUCCCUCCUUAUAUGCACAAUACUCAUUUUACUAUCAUUCUUUUGCAGACUGAAUGGCUAGAGUGCAUACAAGAGCAGAAUGAAAUUAUUUUUGUGCCCAGUGGGUGGUACCACCAAGUCCAUAAUCUAGUAAGUGUUUCCAUCUCCACUACAUGUUUAUGCAUUUAUUGUUUGAACAUUAAGGUUCAAUGUUAGCAUGUUACAGUGGGUAGAUAUUAUGUAUUUGAUCAAAUAUGUAUGGCAAAUGAGAAUCACCUUUAAGUAUAUGAGAAUGAGAAGUGGCAAUCCUGAUCAUUGGAUCAGAUCUUGGUUGUUAAGAUUAAACAUUAAAAGCAACUGAUAUCUUUUGAGUAGUUAUAUUGUACAAUUAGUCUCACACCCUUCAAGUUAUCAAGUGAAUCAUGAUGUGAUCAAUCUGUCUUCGUAUAUACCAUCUUAGUUUGAUCCAACACUUGAGAAUUUCUGAUUCUCCUAUUUUAAGUGCGGUUUCUAGUUUCUACUAGAUGCACCCUGCACACAACUGAUCGGAUGCUAUUUUUCCUUGUUCUAGUUUGAGCCAUUGUAGUUAACUACUACCGAGCUGAAAUAUUAUAUGGCUGAAUCUCUGUGCAUCAAUUCAUCAUUGAAGCGAGUAUUCUUAGCUUCUAUCACAUUUCAGAGCUUCAAUCAUAUUUAUCUUCCCUGUGACAUGAAAAUGGUGAAUGAAUUACCACUCACAAGUCACAACCUGAACAACUUUUUGCUCCGAUUAACUAAAUUACGGGCAUCAUGUUAGAAGCACGUACUCACCCUGAACAACCUAUCAAAUAUCAAUGAAGACACUCAUGUCUGUCUAUUCUUACACCUUCCUGUUUAACAUUCUUCUAAACGUUUUCUAAUUGACAUUGAUAAGCAGCAAGCUGCUGAUGUCCUGUUCUUUUUUCCUUGUUUACCACAGGAGGAUACUAUAUCUAUCAACCAUAAUUGGUUCAAUGCAUACAACCUUCAUUGGGUGGUCAGUACUGAGUACACGUAUUUAUAGCAACUUUAUUUUGACGACUUAACAUUAAAUUCUUGGUACAUUGUACAAAUUCAGUGGAACUUGCUGCAUGAAGACUACAAAGUUGCAAAAGAAUAUAUUGAAGACAUCCGCGAUAUAUGUGACGAUUUUGAGGGGCUUUGUCAACGCAACUUGGCAGCAAAUACAGGUAGCAUUUGGUCUGUUGAUUAACCACAUGAACAAUGAAAUCACAUAUUUAUCUUCUCUGAUUUUCUCUCUGCUAACAUCCAGUUGUUUUCUCUUUUCAGGCAUGAACUUCUAUGAUUUCUUCAUUUUUAUAACACGGUUUGUUUUAGCCAAUGUAAUUGAGCUUUACCAUAUCCAAAAGCCAGAAGAUGCCAAAUUUAAUUCAUCAGAAACCACUCACCCUUUUGUGUAUAACCUUAUGUCAAUUCGAGAUGUUGCAUCUGAAAUGAUAUCUACAGAGGCUUUCAGUACUGAGAACCUUUGUAUUAUAUCAAAAGAAAACAGGAGUGCUGUCUCAGAUGUUACAAAAAUAUUAGAAGAAUAUGGUUUUAGAAGGCUAUGGAUGUCAUUGUCAGAGGCAUAUGAACACAUUAGCAGGGGGCAAAGAAAUUGUCAUGAAAUCAGGUAUUUAAAUCAGAAAGGCUGUCUGUCAGUGGCCUGCUUGAAAUCUGAUUGUACUGUUGUUGAUCACAUUACUUCUUUGGUAUGUGAAAUUCAUGGACCUGAGGAUCUGGUGAGGCUAAUUGAUACUGCUCUAUAUGAUGGUUAGUUGUAAGCGCAUAAUGGAUGUGUAAACUUGCUUGAAGUACUGUACCACUGUUUGAUUUUCAUAGAUUGUCCAAUUUGGAAGGACACUAUGCAUGGUAUUCCCAUCAGUUACCAAAAUCAUGGUUCUCAUUGGUGCUAUAACUGACCAAUGUUGAAGUAUACUUAUUUUACUUGUGCAUAAAAGGGAAGUCAAAAAUACUGUACCAUUUGAUAGCAGUCAUAUUGUGGGAAUCUUGCAAUGAACAACAAGAUGAUAGUUAACGUGGAUGGACCAAGUGACACUGCUUAACCAUUCAGAUGAUAGCUUAAAAUUCUCACUAUGGUCAACCGGUCACUGAUGGUAAGGGCACAUACGACAGAAACAAGAACCUUUUUUUAUCAUGUUUGGUAUGGAUGAUUUUUCAUUUGCACUAAAAGUGAGAUCUUUUGUUUGCUGUUUUUCCUCCUACAAAACAGGUAAAAUUCCUGCUAAAAUAUGUCUGGAAUAAUCUACUGGACAUACCUUAAGAGGCCAUAAUGAUUGAUGCAGAUAGUAGCGUUGGGUGUAUUUCUUGUAGAUUAGUAUGCUAUAAAGAGUAAUCCGAUGGAGGCUGAGAAAAAAUUAUGAUCUCUACAUUUGCCCGCUUUCUCAUUUCCUGUCUAAUUUUUCAUAUGUACAACUCGUAGUCACAAAAGAAUUGACCUUGUAGGGCACACAUGAAAAUGAUACAUGUAAAUUUGUCAUCUAAACUUUGCUAAUCUGCAUCUUUAUUCUCCUGACCGACGUGAAUGGGGUUGUAAACCUGCUAGACCCAGUCUAUUAUAUAGACACGCAGGACAGAAUGAGUACGUCUUGUAAAUAUAGGUCGUUUCAUAUUUGAUUGGAAUGUUGCUCUUGGCUCGAUCUGCCUGCUGUACCAGGAAGAAACCUUGUCAGCGGGACGGCUGAUUGCACCGGGUGCGCAGCAAAUUAUUGCCUGGCAGAUCCAUCUAGGGACUAAGUAGCAGCAGCAGCAGCAACGGGAGGAGAAAGAAACAUACAAGCAAGCAAACAAACGACCACAAGAGCAGCAUCCAGUUCCAGUCUGCUUGUUUUUGUCUGCACUGUGUGCCAACUGCUACUCAUGUCUCCUCUUUGGACUGCCGUCCUGCUCAGCUUUACGCUGCGGCAUUUAUGCCUUUGUCCGCUAGAUUGUUAACCAGUACUGCAGGAUCCUGUAUAUCGUCCAAGCUGUUAAAUGUUUAUGUACCGUGUGUCCAAUGAAAACCAUCUCUAACUACAUAAAAAUAAUUGGAGAAAAUUCAUAAGAAAGUUGCAUAUGCUAGGGAAGUGGUGUUUAACAUAUGUGCACAAUUUCAAGUUCAAACUUAAUUGUGUUUAGGAGCAAUAUAAAAACAACAUAUAAUGAUAUUUCACUGUUUCAUACUAUUCAUUUGCACAUCUCUCAUUUUAAUUCUUUUCAUACGUAAUUAAGUUUGGACUUGAAAUUUUGCACGUUUGUAGAAUAUUACACGUCCAACACAUGCUACAUGGUUUGUAUAAAGUUUGCAUCAUAAGAUGGCUUUUACUUGAUAUUUUACCAAUGUCUGUGACACGAUAACAUUUAGACUUGUGUCAAGAAGCAGAGGAUCGUACGAACAUCAAAGUAUAUAUAUUGCACACACAUUGCAAGUGGUUCUCACUCGUCGGAGGUCUCCGACAUUAAUUCUUUGCCGUCCCGUCGCAGCUAGCUGACUCGUAGUUGCUGUCUGCGUGGAUCUCCACUCUUGUGUGCUUUCGGUGGCCAUGUUUUCUCCUGGAGCGAUGGUAGCAGAGACUAGAGACUUGUGUGGUAAACCACCGGAUGAUGACCUACCAGCGAACGGGCCGGGUCGUGUGGUCCAAGUGGGAGGCUGGAAAAAACGGAUGUGAUGAAUCGGUCUGUAUGUAGAUGCUUGUGCUUUACUGCAAUGCAACAUGGACGGAAACUUCAACGUCAAGAAAGUGGGACAAGUAAUACGAUGGGGGCCAAAAAGAGAUCAAGUUUAUAGCGGAUACUAUACGGAUUUAGCGUACUGAUUCCCAUCAUACCCAUCGUCUGCCGCAAUCGAUUUGUUUCCCGAUGGAGGUGUGCGUGGUAUCUUAACCCUGAUUGCUUCUUGCUUCAAAUGUUGGUGCGGGGAUCUCUAACAGAUCGAUGCAUGCGCCAGGGGCCAGCAUUGCUUGGCGUUGAAGCGUGAUCCAUGUGUGUUCUUUUCCCCAAAACGACGUUCUUUCCUUUUUUCUGUUCCUAUUAACUAACCGGUAGAGUCAGACACAAGGAAGAACACGAGUAAAUAUAACUGCGAGGCCAUGACAUGGUAAUAAUAAACAAUUGAACACGAGUAUGCGGUAACAAAAAAGAAGAAGAAGAAUCGAGUGAUGAUGCAUGCAUGUAUGUACUGCUACUGACUUGACUGGCUUUCCUACAUUGUUGAGAACCACUUUUACAACGAUCGAUCCACUUGGCUAAGCUAGUUUACACGGAUUCCCUUUUGAGAAUUGGACCUUUAAAUUUGGAAAAGAAACAAAUUAUGAAAAAAAAGAUCGACCAGCAAACGCUGAUACAUCCUUCAAUUCCGAAAAAGAAAAGUAAAAUUGAAUAAAAAAGAGACAGUAUCAUCCUCCUCCUUGGCUUCGAUGACCGAUCCAUCAAUUUCUCUGGCUUUUAGCUUAGCUGAGCUAGACGCACCUGACGUUCCUCCCCGGUCCACCGUAGUAGAAGUAGUUCCCCCAGACGGCAUUGACCCCGCCCUGGAUGUCAUAGCAGGCCGGGUGAUCAGCGGUGACAUGGAACGUGGUGAGCGGGAUCAAGCUAUUAUCCCAGUCCACGACCUCCAGGUUCCUGAAGUAGGAGGAGCGGCCGAAGCCUUCCCCGGGGAAAUGGCCGCUCCCCAUCUGCGUGGCCGUGUGGGAUCCCUCGGCGCGGGUGUCCACCACCUCGCCCCCGAACUGCACCAUGCUGGCGUGCGACGCCAGGUGGCUGAAGAGCACCGACGGCCAGUAACCCACCAGCUCCCCGUUCCCGAACUCCAGCCACCAGUUGCCGUGGUUCGGGUCUUUCCAGAUGAGCAGGCUGAUGUCGAAUUGGCCUCCUUUGUAGCCUGAGGUUGGGGAGAUGGCCGCGCCCAUGGCGAUCCGGCUGUUGGUCUGCACGAAGCCGGAACAGAGCAGGUUGUAGCACCCCGUCGUCUGGUACGCGUCCGUCUGCAUGAAUUGUUUCAGAACAUCACUACUAAUCUCGAUUAAGGCUCUUGAUUUGAUUUUCAGUUCAGUCAAACCGAGCUUACCGUCCAGUAAGUGAAGAACCUGGGCGAGUUGUCCCCAUACAGCUGCGGGCUCACCUGUCGGACAGACAGACAGAGAAGCAAGCAUGACAGCAACUGUUAACUGCAUUGUCCCGAAAAACUGAGACCAGAGAGGGGAACGAACGGAACGGAAUGGGCCAAAUGGUAACGUAGGUACCUGCCAUCCGGCUUCGAUGGUGUUGAGGUCGUUGCCGAAGGAGCCGGCGAUGACCCAGAUCUGCGACAGGCUGAACUCAGAGGGGGUGCUCACCUUGGGCGCCCACACGUUGAUGCUCGCCCGCGCGCCGUAGUACUCCUCGCCGGCAACGUACCCCACCGCGUGCUGCAACCACCAAGACUUACCACGAUUAACUCUUUGCCAACACUCCAACGUACACUAAUGAUGUCGCAUCAAUCAAUCUGCACCCAACAGUACUAACUAGAGCUACAGGGAUUGAAUGUAGAUGCAGGAGCCAGGAGGUGACAGUCGGAUCAAUGCUCCCUGCGGAUGUUAGCUCGGAGCAGUAAAAGCGAACAAAGUGACAAAGCCAAUCAAUUCCAGUCAAAUCCACGAGGUUAAAAGCUGUGCGCUGAUGCACGGCGUCCUUGGAAUGAAUGGCAUCAUGGCACUGCUGGAUUUGACGUUUCUAUCCGACCGAUGACGCGCCUCUCUUUUCAGACGCGGGGUGUUCCGUUUCAUGACAACAAACACCAGUGCGAAAGAAACCGGUUUCACCCACCGAUAGCUUGACAUUCUUGCUUGACUGAAUUCUAGAUUUCUAGCCGUGCUCACAAAAUGACGAUGCUAAUGCCCGAAUUAAUGGGGGAUAAUAGGAUAGACGAGAGGAAUGAAGAAUAGUUUUACGGACCUCGUGGCCGCCGGCGACGGUGUCGCGCCGUAUCCUGGCCGUGGGCACCCUGCCGAACCUCCUCACGGAGCUGGCCCGGAGGACGUCCGCCUCCUUCACUCUCCGCACAGGGACGGACCCCUCCUGGCACGUCGCGCCGGACGCCGCCCACAGCUGCGCGCCGGCGUCCGCCGUGUCAUUGGGCCGGCGGCGGUGCCCCUUGGGCCGCGCCGGCGGACCCUGCAAGAAUCCAUCCAAGCAGAGGCACUUGGUUAAUUACACAUUUCCCUUCGGUUUCAAGACAAUGUGCGCGCGUGAAGGCCUGAAGAAUCUGGAAAUGCAUUACGUACGUACCAGUGGCCUCUGGCCGCGCAGCCUCGGGUGGUCGAAGGCCGGCUGCAGGUGCGCCGGCACGCAGUCGAUCAGGUCGCCGUCGGGGCUCUGCAGCCAUCAACCGUUAAUCUCUUUCAGCCACACGCACGAGCACGACGGACACGAUCACCGAACCACAACAAAGACUGAAGAAUUAAACAUGCCUGAAACGUCCGGAGAGACGGCUUGUUGAGCCUCUUGAGGAGCGCCUGGACCCGCCUGUACUUCCGGAGCUCGUGUCCCGGCCGGAACGUCACGUUCGCCGCCGCCGCCGCCUCACAGUUGCCAAGAAGGGCGACAUGAAGCAGCAGGAACAGGACAAUGGCGGCUGUAGCCAUCAGUGGGGGAUUAUUCUGGGCCUGCACGGCGGCGUAUUCUCGCUGCUGCGCCGGUGCCAGGAAUACAUUGGCUGGCUGGCUGGCUGGCUGGCUGGUGGCCUGCCGCGCUUGCUUGCUUCAGAGUUGGGACUGCCAGUAUUCGGCCACAAAAUUAAACCUGUCCACUCCACUAGCACUGCCACUGGCAGUGGCACAGUUCAGCUCAGCUUUGAGCGAAGCGAGCGCGCUCUCCUUUCCUUUGCACGCAAUCCCUCCCGGCCGGCUUUUUUCCCAAAGAAGAAGAAGAUGGAGGAGAAGAAGCACUCGUCCUACCUCUACGCAAAGAUCUCUCCCUCCAAGGCCCUGCAAGGUGAGUAGCACACGGAGCUAUAUAUCCAUCGCUGGCUACUAGGCGCCGAUUGCCCCUGCUUUGCUUAAGGUUAGGAGGGAUUAGAGAGGGAGCGGGCAGAGAUCGAGGGAGGCCAGGCAGGGCCAGUGGUGUUGGGAUUAACUGGGGGGCCGGGCCGACAAAGCAUGAGGCUUUGCAGCAUGAGGCAAUUGAGUUGCGAGGCGGGGGAAGAAUAAUUUACUUGGGGCCGGCAGGGGGGUUUGCUUUUGGGAAAGGCAGGGGGCGCCCUGCCCAAGUGGAGUGGCGCCAUGCAAUGGAGUGCUGCUAGCUGCGUUUGGGCUCCGUAAUGAGUAGCACCAGCGAGCAGAGUCCCCGGCGGAUGUGUUGUGUUUGCAAGGAAAGCGGCGUUGCGCUGGACUGGACGAAAUUCAUGCCAUGUGUUCCGCUUUCACGUAAAGCAGUACGUGUGUAGAGCAUACGGGAUGAGUAUGUAUGCUAAAGAGGCGUACAUGCGUCUUUGAGUAUUUUGCGUCCGUGUUUUCCUUUCAUUUUGACCGGUGAUAGAUUGACAACGAUGUGUUCGCAUUUGGAUACCCAUGAGGUUACCCUUUUGGCCUCCACGUCAUAGGAUGGACCAUGAAUGUACUAGUACGAAUUUCGGGCCACACGCCAAAAUAUAGUGUGUGACAGGCCUCUUAAAAAAAACAUGCAAAACCGUGGCCACUCCCCAAAUUGGAAUAUAAAUCUCUAGGCAAUUAACUUCAACUUCAUAGCUUAUGUCAUUCUAAAGGUGUGUUGUUUGUAAUGUAACCAAAAAUCGGGUAGCUAGAUUAUUGGCGGCGACCUUUUGCUUGUGCAUGACUCCGCCAAUUUUGAAAUAAAAAAUAAAAUGAAGUUGGCUAAAGAAGAUUUGCAUUAUAAUAUUCCGUCGUGCUCUACAAGCACGGCAAAAUGUUGAUAUAGCAUACUUUGACAACAAUCAAAACAUACUAUAAAGACCAUGACAUCAACCAUUUGAUACGUAAGAAUGAGUCUAACAAACGGCAUCCCGUGUCGUUCAUGUGGCUCACCACUGUUGACUCCUAUCUCUGUCGGUGCCGUGAGCCGCCUGCCUCCAAAGGAGAUGGGUGGCCUCUUGAUGGUUUCCAUCCCAACCGUUUCUCAGUUGCGCGGGUGUGUGUGGCAGUGUAGGUCCUCCAACGCAGGGUCGGACUUCUGUUGGCUUUUCGAUCCAUUUGUCCCAUCAUGAGGUGUUGCCGGACUGCACGGCAAUCGAGCAGGGCACACUGUCCCGAUCUAGAUUAGGCGAAGGGGUUGCUCGAUGUAGCGUAGUUUCCUCGUGUCAGAUCCAACAAUAUUUGUUCCUGAGUAAUGUACAACAGUGGAUCUAAGAUGGUAGCACACAAGAUAAAGAUUUAGACAGGUUUCAGGCCCUCGGGCUCGAGGCAAUAUCCAACUCAUGUGUUUGGUGGUUGUAUUGAUCUUGCCUCAAAGUGCUAGCGCGAUACGAGAGACCAAAUCUCUCGUGGUCGCUAUGAACUGUGUGGAAUGUAUAGUACGAACGGGUAAAGUUACUAAGUUCUCAAGUCAGUUACAAAGAAAAGAUUCCCUAUACAAAAGACUUGUGUGACCCUAAAAUAUCAGGACCUUUCUUGAUUAGGGAAAGGGGUGGCUCGAUGUAGCGUAGUUUCCUGGUGUCAGAUUCAACAAUAUUUGUUCCUAGGUAGUGUAUGGAAGUGGAUCUAAGAUGGUAGCACACGAGACAAAGAUUUAGACAGGUUCAGCCCUUGAGAUCAAGGCAAUACCCUACUCAUAUGUUUGGUGGUUGUAUUGAUCUUGCCUCAAAGUGCUCGAGCGAUACGAGAGAGCGGAUCUCUCAAGGUCGCUAUGAACUGUGCAGAAUGUAUAAUACGGCCGGGUUAGGGUUACAAAGUUACAAAGUUCUCAAGUCAGUUACAAAGAAAAGAUUUCUUAUACAAAAGAUUUGUGUGCCCCUAAAACAUCAGGAGCUUUUCCUCACUCCUCCAAGUCAUUGUGGCCCCCUGGGUUGAGGUCGAACUCCUUCGAGAAGGUUAGACCCACCCUAUGGUUGUUGGGCCGAGUCGGUCUGCGCUGACCGUACCUGGGUGCCAUGACAUCGUCACCUGGUAUUGCUAGACGAUAAUGGUGAGCAAUGGUGGUGCUAGUGGCAGGAUGCAAGGUGUGUGACUGCGGUAGUCAACGGGUUAUGGCACCUGCUUUUCACGGCAUCCAGUCUAGGCUUCUAGUGUCGGAGGCUAGGUCCGUGAUAAUUUUGAGGUGUGUCGGCCUUUGUGGAUGGCUAGAUACGGUUUUUCCACAAGCGAUGAGCUCUAUGGAAAGAUGCAUCCUAACCCGUGAAAGAUGACUUUUGAGUGCGUAUUGUGACUUGUGCAGCAAUUACGUACGUGACAAGUGGAACUGCGCCAUGACAUUUCCUUUUUCAUAGACCUUUUGGGUUUGUCUUUAAUGGUCGAAGUGACUAUUGCCGAUGAUGAUGCCACCGUGGCAGAUUCCCUAGGUGCCUCUUGCAGCACGAUGGUGGCGGUUCAUCGUGAACGGUGGUGUCAAGUUUAGCAUUGGCUGGUCUUGUUUCGUGUGACUAUUGCAGUGAUUGCUAUGCUGAUUGUCAUUUGCAGUAAGUUGAAGUCGAUAUCUUUGGAGUGAUGGGUGAUGACAAUGACAUUUACAUGUAAUCUCGACGAUGGUCUUCUUCCAGCUAGCAUAUGUCGAGUGUGCGUCCAUAGCAAAAUGGUGCAAUGGAUGUUGUGAUGUUCAAUAACGAGUUGUGGAUGUAUUCUAAUAGUUUUUAUGUUGUUUUACACCCACUAAUUAACUCUACUUCAAAAUUUCUUCUUUCUUAUUAAGACGAUGCAAAUCUUGUGACUCUCUUUCCAAAAAUAAUACGAGCUGAUAUUUUUUAUUGCAAAAAGCAAUACUAUUAUUUAAUCAUCGCCAUGUCAACCAACACAAAUCUAUAUUUGUAUCGCGCCCGUGCAAAGUUAUGCUUGUGAGACCCGGCUUAAUCUUGCUUGCCACACCUGAUAAUUGGAAAUUGUUACGGAUGCGUAAUAGAUGCGACCUUUGUGGAGUCGGUUCUGGUUUCGUAACUCGAACCAACCCUUGUCGGCGUUGCUAUAUAUUGAGCCGACUCCAUCCCUUGAAACUUAUCAUACCAAACCAAGUUAAGGUUUUGCCUCCUCUUGCUGUUGUGCCGCCAUCAUAGUCUAAUUUAUCCCGAGCGUUAGUGUGCACCGACGAAUGGGAUAGCAAGUCUCCGGAACUUGUCACCUUCAUGACCUUGUACGGGGAAAGCGCUCAGCGUGACUUCAAGCUUCCUUCAUCACGGGUCGUCUACCACCUCGGGCGGGCGGGCGGUUGCCUGACUCACUCCUGUCUUCAACGCCAUCUGUUUUGAGUGACAAGAGCCAACACCGCAGCAAUCACGUUUACCUCCUCUACAAGCUAAUAGUACGUGAAUUGUGUUCUAAUCUACUUCUUAGUCAUGUUCUACGAGUACAUGCUACUGUUCGUCAUGUUGUAUAAUGCAUCCAGUUGAGUUAUAUUCUUAAAUUAAUUAUAAAUUUGUUAAUCACGAAAUUGCUUAAUAUUCCAGCAAGGUGUACCACGAGGAGGAAAAGUAGUAAUAGACUGUUCAACAAAUUUUCACUUUCACUUAAUUAAGUUAUCAAAUAACCUUUUGACCAGCAUAUCUAGGAAAAACUUUUUUUUUGAGAGAUAAACAUAAGCUUUCAGAAGUGUUUGGGUCAAAAUUAACCCUGAGAUUAUUGCCAAGAGCAUUUUACUUUAACUAGACCCAAAAUUGUCAAGUCGAAUGAGCAGUACCCAUUUUGAAACAAUCAAGCUACGAUGCUAUAAUAAACUUUUUACCCACAGGCUUGGUCAAAAAAAAAAAACUUUUUACCCACAGGAAUGCUCGCUCCAAGCCUGUAACUGAGGCAGGAGAAGAUACGCCCCAGCAUAAAUAUUCAAGAGCUCAACAACAUUUUGCUUGCCUUUUGCGGGUAAUAUGGUAUAAAAUGUGGGUACUGACUACUGAGAUCUACCAUCAAGCCAGGGCCAGACAUCAUUCCAAAAUCUUACCUCCGUUCUACGUUUAUCUUGAAAAGAAACAGACUGGAAGAAGUGGAGGCUUCUAGUCAAAAAAGAUGCGAAAAAGAGAGCCCCCAAUUUAGCUUUGCUUUGUGUGACAAUGAUGCACCCCUCGCAAACUUAUUUCUGAGAAGAUCCUGCUAUACACCUUUCUAACUAAAAGGCACUUGCUCAACAAAUACUAGUUUUUCAACUCCAAAUCGUGUACACGUUUGUAACAUCUCAAAUUUUCAAAACCCUUCAUAUACAUUGCAUUUCAUAAGCAUCAUGCCACCCUUGCAUUUAAUCACAUUCAAAACCCUAAAGUUUAACCCAGAAACACCUUUAACAAAAGUGGUUUUAUUUGAAUCUGGCUCUUUUCUUGCUUUUGGUUAAUAGCAUUUUGACCCAUGAGGGUUUUGGCAUAAAAAGGGGUUUAAUGCAUUUAUAAAGCUACCCCAUAUCUUGACUUGUGAAUUGGAUUUGAAUUCCUAAUUAUUUUAAUAGCUAGAAAGCCCUAAAGGCUAAAUUAUAGGCAAAAGUAUUUUUAAAUAUUUUAUUUUGAGGGAGUUCUUGUCCCAAAAGUUGAAUCAUAUGAAGAUAUGAUAUUACAAUUUUUGUUGCAAUUUAUUUGGUGUGAUUUGGAGUCUUGAAUCAAAAGUUGUGUUCAAAAACAGAAAAUGGAAAAAGAAAAAGAAAAAAAAAAGAGAAACGGCCGGCCCGGCCAAAUGGGCCGAACCGGCCCACUUGCCUCCGCGUCCGACCGAGCCAACCAACCGACCGAGCCCGAGCGGUGCCGCUGCCAGGUGGGCCCCACUGUCAGCCGUCGUCUUCCUCCAACUGCCGCCCGAGUCUCCCGGUCGCGCACGAGUCCGCGCCCACGACGCCUCCACCUCCGAUUUCUCCGCGCACAAGACCCCAUCUUCGAUUCUGAGCGCGUCACAUCGAAGCCCACGACCCCCUCUCUCUUUUCCCCCUCCACUCUCGCUCGAUUUCGCCUCGAAACCACCCCAAUUGCUCGCCGUUUUUCGCCACUGCCGCCGCCUUCUCAAGCUCGCUGCCGGCGAACCAAGAGGUUCGAGACGCCGCUGCCUACUCCUUUCUCCUCCUCUCUCUCUGGCGCUUCUUUUGACACGUUUAUUUUCGUUUUUGGAGCGCUGCAGCCCGUCGCCCCAAACCGCCCGAGCUCCACCGCCGGCCCCCCGUUUCCGUCGCCCUAGACGUCACCGCCGACGCCCCCGAGCUUCGCCGCCGUCAUCUUCGUCUCCGUCUCGCCGAGCCACGCAACGCCGUCGUCUUUCCGAGCCAGCAGGCUCGCCGGACCGCCCGCGCCGCCGCUUCCCGAGUCGCCGCCGGCGUCAAUCUCGCCGGAGGAGAAGCCCUAGCCGCCGGUAAGCCCCCAACCCCAUCUCAUCCGUUGGAUCUAGAUUAGACGGUUAGGAUUAGACCACUUUACCGAACCGGUACCGGAAAAUAGGAUAGCGCCACAUGUCGCCCUUUUAAAAUUAAAACUUAAUUCUCGGCCGAAUUAAUUGGUAAUUUGCAAAAAAGCCCCUAGAACUUCAAACCAUCAUAUCUUUUAAACCGUUUGACCAAAUUUGAAGUUCUAUACCUUUCUGGAAUCCUCACAACAUGUAAAAUAUUUUGGCAUAGUUUAAUUUUGAAUUUGAACAACUUUGACAGAAGCAAAUUGCAGAAUCCUUAAUUAUGGUUUAAAAUUCAUAUGAAUUAUUUCAAACUAGUUUUCAACUUGUUAGCAUGUUGAAAAAUGUUUUGAGUAUACUCUCUGUCCAUUAGGACCAGAGGGGAAAUUAUUUUGUAAAUAAUAUUGCCACACAAAUUUAAUCUUGCUCCAUGCUUUACAAAAGUCAAUUAAGCUUUUAAUUAAAGCUCAUCUUUGUUUCAUACAAAGUAAUUACCUCUUUAUUGUAUAAUCUGUCCAAAUAUUUUGUGAAGCUCUUUAAAAGAGAAACUAAACAUGUUGCAUUUAGAACCAACCUAAGAGUGCAUCAUCAUGACAACUGCAUCAUAGCAUGUUUUUGUAUUGAAUAGCAUGUUUAUUGUGUGUGUUUUCUUUUAUUUUAGAUUGUGUGGAUUGUGAAGUUUGGUGUUGCGAAAAGUGCGAGAACUAUCACAACCUUGGAUAAGGCAAGUUCACUUUGAUCAUUUUCUAAAUAUUUUUACUAUGCACUAGUUAUUUUAUCAGUUGCAUUAGGAAUAUUACAUGUACCUCUAUGCUAGCUAUAAAUCCCAGGUAGUGUAGUUUACCCUUGCCAUUACCUUGCUACCAAAUUGCCAUCGAUUGUAGUUGAAUGGUAGGCUAUGGUAGUAUCGUGGGAGAAAUUACUACAUUAUGAUAUUGUUAUGCCUAUGGAGAAAUGAAAUGCUUAUUAGAGUAAGGCAAAACAAUUAAUUCAAUGAACCAUCCGGGGUGGGCGGCUUUGAGAAUUUUGAGGUUAUGCGACGUCAGGUCCAUUUCUAUGAGUCGUCUCUCCAUGUCUAUGGGAGCGCCUGCGUCGCAAAUGUGGAAUGCCACCUGGGGUAACCGAAACUGAACUAGUUUCCUAUUUGGUAGCUUUCAGUAGAACCACAAUGCUAAAUGGGCUCUGGCGAGAACAGAGUAUGUUGUAUGAAUCUAGACCCGAGGAAUUGUACUAAGGUAGCCUGUGUAGGGGGAGCGUGAUUCUCUCGUGAUUUAGAGAAUUACCUCUGAAAAUCUCGUAAUCGACGCUGUUGCUACUCUACCCUGAGGAUAGAAAGGGAUUAACACGUCGGUUUCUUGUGGGGAAUGUGUACAAACUCUCGAGAGCGUCAAAACUAAGUACUUAGCCGUGUCCCCGGUUAUGAACAAUUAUGAGCAACUGGAUGUAGAGUUGUAAGGAAAGUCUCACUCAUUCUAAUUUCUUAAUAAAAUGAAUGGUUUGAACUUGGGUCUAGGAGCAUUGAUGUGUCUACUUAAUGUCCUUAGUUUAAUAGGAGCAUGGGUGUGUCUACCCCAUGUCAAGUAGUGAUAAAAUUUAUUUGAUUAAAAGAUAGGACAAAACAAUUAAGUUUUUAUGCAAAUAGCCUUGAACCCCACUUUGUCACAUUAUGCAUAUACUUGGUAGGUUCUGAUAUAACUCCUAGUGAUCUUACCAGUACAUUCAAUGUAUUGACCCUAGUGGUUGCAUCGUUUAAUGAUGCAGGAAGCUCCGACGAAGAGUAAAAGUACGUUCUACUUGUUUGGGUUAUGUGCCUAUAUUCUAACACGCUCUCACCGUGGUGUUGAUGUAGCCCUUUUAUCUUCCGUUUUCCGCUGUUAAACAAUUGUUUUAUUUCCAGCUAACCCAUGGGAUCAUGCGAGUUUGUAAGUACUUUUAAAUUCUGGAUGAUGCGUUGUAAUACUUGAGAUUUUUGUUCUAUGAUAUUACAUCUCGAAAUUAUGUGUGCUAGUGAGUCGAUUCAGCGACUAGUACUAAAAGCACAGAGAUCGAACCCGUGUACGGGGACGGUCGCUUCAACAUUUUUCACAAUCUAUCGCAUCUCCAUAUUAUAUUUAGUUGUGCUACUAUGUUAUUUUUAGAUGAUAAUUACAUCCAUGAACUUUUCUAUAUCAUAUAAAAAUAGCGAACUCAACCAGACUAGAAACAUCUUAUGUUUAGUACGAGAGAUAGUAAUACUUAUUACUUCUUCCGUUCUGAAAUAAGUGACGUGAAUUUGUUGCAUGGACAAAUGUUCAAAAAGAGGAAGGAGAUACAGAUAACAAUGCAUCCGCAUGUCUCUCCCAAUAUGCUUGCUUGAUCAAUUUAAAACUGGACAAUUCAAUAGUGAGCUGGAUGUGUUUUCAUCGGAGCAGAGGGGGAACCAUGGUGCAAAAGCUAAUUAAGCUAGCAGCGCUCUCAGGCGGCGAUGAGGGCAGCAGGGUCCACUGGCUUUGGGUUGGGCCCCCUUUUCCUUCCACCUCUCUUCUUUUGAUCUUCCUUCUCUCUCUCUUUCCUUUUUUUCAUUGGGUUUUGCAAUUUGCAUAAGCAUGCUUGCUCUUGCUCCCAUACUACUGCUACAACUACACUGUUAUUCUUCUUCUGCUGCUGCUGAGCCGCUUGGUCCUCUCCUAGUCCUCAUCUACAAUGAGGGGAAUGGAACGAAUGGAAUUAGGCUCUGGUGGAUUUGUGGGUCUCCGUGGUCCUCCUCCAUGUCGUUGCUUUCACUGCUUCCUAGGACCUCUACAAUACUACAAGGAACUUGUUUUUACAUGGGGAAAAAAGGCUUCUUCGAAGUUUGUUUUGCAGCGCUCCAAACAAACCCCAUUCCUUUCUUGCCAACAUUUCACUUUUUGUGGCUCGUAGCGGCAAGGCGUGUCGGGUUCCAGGGACAUGAACAGUAGUCGAGCAGUUUUGUGCUUACAAGCCUUCCUAGCCAACUAGAAGCAUAGCGAGGAUACACCGGUUAGAACAGAUUCUGAAAACUUGUUCCAGCAUUGGCAGGUGCAGCUGGUAAACGAGAGCGUUUCCUAAAAUUCCCUCGGCCGUGCAUCCGAGUGGCCGGGAUCAUGCAGAUCUUUGCUUGUACAGACUGAUGUGCCUCUUCUCCAGCAGCCAUGCAGGUACACGCGUGAACAGACAAGCUUGGGUCCCGUUUCAGUCUGUCAGCAGAGUUCAGGCCUGCAGCGUAUCAAGCAAAUCGAUCGAUUCCCGUUUCUGCCAUGUACAUGUAGCUGUGCCGCACCGUGCAUGAAAAGCCAUAGCUUUACUUCUACUACUAGGAUCUGCAUUGUUUACUUUUUACCUUUUGAUAAUGCCUUCCUAGAUGUGGCUGUGUUUAGUAGUGAUCUCCGACUCGUCUACUCCAGUAAUCAUGCUCCUGUUGCUCUGCAGCUGCAAACCAUUUUUCAAAGCUCUUUGAGCAGCUCAUGUGGGGCCAAGCCGUAUCUCAUUGUCCAGGAUUUUGAGAGCAUUUUUCUAUCUUUUUUUUUGUAUACAUUUCUUCUUUAGUUACUACGGUAUUGUGCUAUCGCGGCCGGUGUCGUUGAGGCUUGUGUGGAUUCAGAGUAAAGGAACAGGGGCGUAAUUAGUUAAGCUGGGUUUAAUUAUGUGCAUGGGCAUGGCUGCCGCUUUCAACCGUGCAAUCAGUAAUCUAUGUGCACAAUCUCAUACUUGACAUGCGGGCAUGUGGUGGUAAUGAUGCACUCACACCCGAUAAACAAGGGGAGCCAGCCAUCCAUGUACUGAUUAUAUGUACUAGUACUGUACCUGCAUUGCAAGUGAUUAAUUAAGGCUUGCGGAAACCUUCGGCUGGGCAGCUCGCGCCGAUCGUAGAGAAGAUUGAGAAACGGCUCCAAACGUGGUCUGCGCCCAUGUUCUCCUCGGGUGGGCGGCUAACGCUUGUUCGGUACACACUUUGUGCCAUGCCGAUCUAUGCGAUGAUAUCGCUUGAUCUUCCGGUGAAGACUGUUUCAGCUAUUGAGAAACUUUGCCGAGGAUUUUUGUGGAAGGGGAGGAAGGAGGUCCGCGGUGGUAAUUGUCUUGUCUCGUGGCAAGCGGUCUGCUCGCCAAGGGAGCUCGGGGGCUUGGGUAUCCCCAACCUCAAGGUGCUCAAUGUGGCUUUGCAGGCUAGAUGGAGCUGGCUUCAACAAAUGGAUCCAUCAAGGCCGUGGGCGGAGUUUGAUAUUCAGAUUCCCCCUGCCUCCCGCGAGUUGUGUAAGGCGGCUACCUCCAUCAUUGUGGGGAACGGCCGGCGUGUGAGAUUCUGGACAGAUGCUUGGCUUGAUGGUGUGGCUCUGUGUGACCUAGCGCAAAUCUUUUCAUGAGGGUCGCUGGACAGGGCCGGAAAAUCUUUGUUGCGGAGGCCUUGGUUGACCGGGCUUGUGUCAAGGGGAUCAAGCCGGAUCUGUCUUCCUUGGCCAUCGACGAGUUCUUGCUCAUUUGGGACGUCGUUGAAGGUUGGGUCCUUUUGGAUGAGGAGGAUGUGCUUCGUUGGAAGUGGGAAGGGAGUGGCUCGUAUUCAACGUCAUCGUCGUAUGCGGCCCUUUUUGGGGAGCGUACAUGCAUGCCAGGAGCUGCUGAGGUGUGGGGCUCUAGGGCUCCGAGUAGAUGCAAAUUCUUUCUUUGGCUUGCACUGAAGGAGCGUUGUUGGACGGCGGACCGCCUUCGUCGACGUGCGAUGCCUCACCCUCCUCGCUGCCCUUUGUAUGACCAGGAUGAGGAGAGCAUCAAUCACUUACUCUUGGGAUGUAUGGUCGCCCGGCAGGUGUGGCUCGCUGUCCUUGGGCGUUGGCAGAAGCAGGAUUGGGUUCCUAGUGUGCUUGACCAUUUGGAGACUUGGUGGCCGGGUCCGAAGGUUGUGGCUAGGAAGGAUCGGAGGAACCUACAUACUGCCGUUAGCCUUGUUUGCUGGUGUAUUUGGAAGCACAGGAACGUGGUGGUCUUCGAUGGGGUGACGCCAAGUGCUACUCACAUUAUUAGGGAGAUUGGUCGUGAGGGGGAUGCAUGGCGACGCGUGGGACUGUUUGAUGGUUCCCUUCUCUUUUCCGAUUUUGGUCUAGUGGACGUGAUGUGGAUCUUGCGUGAGUAAUUGUAAUUGUAUUUUGAACUUGCCGCGUCACGGUCUUCUUCUUUAAUGCAUGAUAUAUCCGCCGAGGUAUAUUCUAGAAUUUUUUUUUAAGGAACUACAGUUAAACACUUAAAUGGAUGGUAAUGUGCCUCUCUCUUUCCAUAAAAAAAAUUGUGCCCCUCUCUCUCUCCCCCCCUCUUUAGGCGAGACCUCAUGUACCCUUGAUAAACCUAAACCGUUGUAUAUAUGCCUCACAUCCACAGGUUGAUAUCAAUUGUUUCAUACUUUUCGCCAUAGUUCGCAUGUAAGAAAACAAUAGCUCUGCCAUGAAAGAGGGAAUUUUAGAUUCACCCUUCAGAAUUUUCAUAAAUGUUCAAAUAUCACUUGAAAUUUCAAGGUUCCAAAUCUAACACGUGCAUGCUUACAAAUUUAUCACUAUCGUCAGCUGAACAUUUGUUGACGUCAAGUCUACUAAAAGAUGAUUUUACCCCUAGCUAUAUAUAUGUGUUGAUUUUCCCUUUAUGACUAAUCAUUUCAGAAAAAAAAUCACUCCAAAAUUUCGACAUGAAAGUAACACAAGCUCAGAACAAAUUUCAAUAAAAAGAUAGCAAAAAACAAAAUAAUGUUAUUCCAAUUUUCUUGAAAAUUCAGCAACAUAUUUCAUAUUUAGUGUGAGAGAUGGCGAGCGAAUGAGGGACGAGUACGGCUCUGACGUAGGGUUGUCACUGAGAGGUAUCUUUUUCCUUCCGAUAAACAAAGGGUAUAUAUGGGUUAAUACUCAAAAAUCCUGGCCAUGUUUCAGGUCUUGUACACGGUCAAUGAUUGAUGUGCUGCCCGUAAUGGUUAAUUGGUACGCAGUGCAAAAAUUAACGGUAAAUCUGAAAGCCGAAAAAUCCAUAUGUAUAAUCUCGCGUCUCCGUAUGCUACAAUAAGCACAGAAUACGGAUCGAGUUGAUGGCAACGCGGAUAAUCUACCAAAAAGAAACUAGAAGUUCUCUCUUAAUUUAUGAAAAACAAUUUUUUUUUCUGAUAAUUCCAACCUCAUACUCCCGCUAAAAUCUGGACCUUAAGUUUUUUUUUUGGGUCUGGACCCUUAAGUUGUCUAUCCAUCCCCGACUCGGGCACGUCUAUUUCUCAGUCGCUUAUGAAAUAGUUAUUUCCCGUUCGACAAUCGUAACAAUCCAAUGAAGAUUUUUUUAUGCAUCAAACCUACAUUAAUCUUACACGAAUCUUAAUGAUUGAAUCAGAAGGUUGUAAUCAUCGACUAAGAAAUACUCACUCCGUUACAUAAUUCUUGUCGAAAUAUUACAUGUAUCCGACACUUUUUAGGAAUAGAUACAUCCAUAUUUAGGCAAAUUUGAGACAAGAAUUAUGGAAUGGAGGGAAUAGUUAUUUCUCAGUCUCUUAAGAAAUAGCAAAACAGAUUGUUAAAAUAUCUUAUAUGUACAAGUACCACACAAAGAUCGUAACCUUGAGUGGUACUCAGAACCGAGUUUAGUUAGUCCUUCUAAGAGCAUCUUCAACAGUAGCCCUUAUAUCAAGGCCCCUAAAUGUUGUUUAGGGGCUUUCCUCUAAAUUUUUUAGCCCUCGUUUCAAUUCCAUCUUCAGCGGGAGCCCUUAUAUUCCAGCCUCUAUUCUAUUUUUCCAUUACACUGACAUAUGGGUCCCUCCUGUGAGUGACAGGACACACCUUUCUUCUUUCUAUUGUCUUCCUCCCCGAGCCCUUCUUCCCCAUGGAGGCCGGCGGCCAAAAGGAGGUGGCAGACGCGAAGACCUCGGGCGUCGGCGGGCCGUCCAUGGGCGGCAGGUCGGUCGGCGAGGAGGCGGCGGCGUGGUGGCCGGCGGCGAGGGGGCGCGGUGGCGGUGGAGAGACAAAGGGAGAGGAGUGAGGAGAUUGCUGACGUGUCAUGUGCGGGAAGGGAAUAGGGGCCUCCCUGGGGAGCCCUGAAAAUGGGGGUUUGGGAGGUGUUUACAGGGGCCUCCCUAGAACAAUAGGGGCUCUAGUAGGACUUUACUGAAGAGCUUUUUUUUUUUGCUUCACGCCCUUAAAACGGGACAGGGGCUCUGUUUAGAGUCCUGCUGAAAAUGCUCUACGAUAGUGCUAAGCUCAAACAUGUAGGCUAGAUUGAUCCAUGUCGAGUUUUUUUUUUUUUUUUUUUGGCGGUGUUAUAAUAGCUCGAGCUUUUUGAGAGCCCCAAUCUUGAGAGAUCACCUGUGCUUGUCUUUUCAGAAAAUUUGACCGACUUAUCGAUCAAAUGAUGUAACAUGAAAUGCUUUUCCUGUCACGAAGAGGGCAUUAAAAUUUAAAACUAUAUUUAUUUUAACAAAUCGCCUAGGAUAUCCUACUUUUCACUUCAAAUUGACCCCCCCUUUUCCAGUUAUUCUUCCCUCGAAAAGAAGGGGAUGGCCGGUAAUUUGUGUGAUAUACAAUCGAUUGCGUCAUCAAUGUGCUAGGUAAGCAUGCUUGGCUAAAGAGACCAAAUGAUGGAGCAGACGUACACAGAUCGAAUCGACCCUUGGCCAUAUGUACUGUUGGAUCGUGGGGAAAACUAAAAGAAGUUUUUGGCUGUUGGUGAAACAUCCCGUCGACAAAGGAAUUACAUCCAUCUUUUACGUCCUCGAGAUUCAUUGACCUCGAUCUGGUCAGUAACAGACAGUACAACCGGUCGACGGUCGAGAAUAGAUAGAGAUAGAUGGAGUGAGAUCCGAUCAGCGGCUUUAGCUUUCUCCAGGGCAUGCAGCAGCGUCUGAUCCUGUCUUGAUCUCUUUUUUCACAAGUUUCAACAAGUCUCACUACUGUUGGAGUCGCCGAGCGAUCGAUUGGGGUGGCUUUUAGAACUCGGAAGGGCGGACCAGUACAUGGUCGAUCGAUUGGUCCGGCUGUACUACGUCUGAACCUCAACGUUCUUUGGGAACAUUUCUGACCAAAGGAUCGAUUAGCUGCAAGUCUCACAUGUUUGUGAUCGUGUGAUAUGAUGCGCCCAUGCAACCUGCGACCACCUCAUACAUUCCAAUUUUGAUUUCCAAACUCUAGCUAAGCAUUCCAAUUUUGAUUUCCAAAUUAAGAUUCAUCAAAUUAUCCGUCCAUCGUCCUCGAAGAAGACAGACAUCACUACACCCCCAUUAAAUCAUUAAUACACACCUACUUAAUUAUCAUGAUUUACAUGGCAUGAUCCUCCUGUAAAGCUAGCAGCUAGCUAAGUAUAGUAACUAAGAGUAAUGGCAGGCACGCAGAUGCAUGGAUUAGCUAGCACUACUUAAUUGGUUUUGGGUAGGUAAAGCAGACAACAAUUAGAAUGUUUUUGUGGGGCAGCAAUCUGGUCCCUCGGGUGCCAAACAUGGAAUCAUCUUCUGGACAUAGAUGGAGGCUUAGGUGUAUAGCCAGGCAGGCAUGGAGAUGUAAUUGUUGAUUGGCUAGGCAAAAUGAGAGGAUGAGGAAGGAGCCAGCAGCAUCUGCCGGUCGGACAAACCUGCCCUUUCCCCCUCCAAAGAUGCUAUUCACGUCCUGGCUGGCCCUCGCAACUCAUUAAAAACAUCUUAUUCAACUAUGUCUUCAUCCCACAAUACUUUCGUUUUUGGGGAAUAACCGUCAUCACACAGUACAAUAUAGUACUCAUUAAUUUCUGAUUUUAUUUCAUAAAAUACACGACAUAAAGGGAUGUAACCUAUCUAUAAACACUUGUAAAUAUAUUUUUAGAUAAAAAGGCUCGCUAGAACACUUGUAAAUACUCCAUGUGUGUUUCCUAAAAAAAAGAAUGACUGAUAGACCGCCGUAGAGCUAGUGAUGGGGAAGACGGUGCGUCCGAUUUCCUUAAGCUCAACCAUAGAUUUACACUCUUUUUUCCAGAAUAGUAAGCUGUAAAACCUCAACUCCGGCUAUCUUUGAGUGUCUUUAUGUGUACACAUGCUUAUUUGUGAGCGAAGUUGAUCUAUAAAGACGACAACUUUUGAACUUUUGAACUUUUGCACACCACACCACACGGGUAUGGGCAGGAGGAUUGACGGGUAGUAAGAAUUGUGUAACCUGAUCGUCAUCCAUCCUCCCAACAACACAAUUCCUUACACAUCCUCACAGGUUACACAAUUCCUCUCAAGUCUCAACAACACAACCAUUCAUUGUGAUUGUACCGCAAUGCUCAACACCUCUUCAAGUUCUAACUCCCAGAAGCGGCACAAAACAAGUCAUCAUGGUGAAGCAAAAAAAAAAAAAAAGACAGGUAAGACCAACAUCCUGCAGGAUUAAGUCUGAGCUGAUGGCAGAGUAUAGAAAUCCUGAUGCAGAACUGAAGACCAAUGAGGCCAGGAUACAACGUAGUGAGGUCUCUUGCAUAGAUGUAGCCAAUCCCUACUGAUCUGGACGACUCACCAGUUGAUCCUCAUCCGCACUCAGCUUCUCUGCAGCAGAAAGCAGCAGGUCCACAGCUGCGAAAUUCCUGUCUGGCAGCCGAGCGUCGUCCUUACGGUGGAGUUUCAGCAUCUUCUUCUCAUACUGUCUCAUCCCCGCCUUCGCUCUCUCCACGCUACAUGAUGAGCAAUACCACUUGCCCUUUGGCACCGAAGUACGGCGAGGUGUCAUGCAAUAGAGAUGAUAAGCCUCAUCACAGCCAUCGCACAGAAUGGUCUGCUCGUCGUCUCCGUCAGAAAGACACACUCGACAAAGGCACGAUGGACAGUACCAGCACGGUUUGUCUCUCUGCACCUUGCUAGCAAUCUGCUUAGACUUCAGACAGCGAAUGUGGUAGUACUUAUAUGGACAGUGGCUGUGGCCACAUAUGAGGAAUCUCUUGUCAUCGUCUUCAGGAGUUCCACACAUCUUGCAUGAGCCACCGACAACAAUAUUUGGCAGUUCUUCACCCUCGGCAGGCUCUGUGCAAGAAAUCACAAUUGCUCUUGACUCGUCAACAGGUGUCCGUUCGCUGACAGUUUCUUUGCAUUCUGCAGGCCUGCAAACUUCAAGUCCUUUGCAAGCGACACAAUUUCCAUGCAAGAGAUUUGGUUCAUACUGCACUAUGCUCAUGCCACCUUCAGCUGACUCAUCCCAGGUGGUACUGCUGCAGCUUUUGCAAUGCCAGCUUCCAGUCGGCACAGGAGGCUCAAUGCAUGAAAUGUGACACACUAGCUUGCAUCUAUUACAUGUGAUGGUGUUGACCCCUCCCGCCUCUUUACCACAUUGGUCACAAGCAGUGCCCAUUUGUACAUCAGAAACAUCUAUUGGGUCUGGUUGGUCCAACUGCUGAAACCCCUGUGAGGUUGAGGGUACCAGUGUACUUGAUUCCAUCAAGUUCUUGGGUUCAGAGCUGGCCACCGCAGCUCCCUGCAAUAGAGGUAGCAUACUGUUGAGAAAGGAUAGUAAGCACAUUAUGGAAACUGGAAAUCUAGCAAAGAAUAAUCACCUUGAGUUCCUUCUCACUAUCACAUGAUCCUCUCUCUCUUCCAACCUAAACAACGUAAUACCAGGUUUCAAUGCAAAGGUGUAUAUCAGUAUGAGAACAAAUGUAUCCAACACUCAAGAUACUCAUAUCCUUUGAUCUAAAAUAUACUCAUAUCCUAAAUGAAACACAGAAAACUAUAGAGCAUUCAAAAUAGUAAAAACUGGAAAAAACAGAACUAAAAUCCAGCAACCAAAAACUUGCCUUCUUUGUGUACGAUGCUUCUGUGAGGCUUGAAAGGCCAUUUGCUAGGUCAACAAUAUCUUGACCAGCCAGUUUAACAUCUUCCCAUAACUGAAAAAAUACCUUAAUUAUUAAUUACUAUCACCACUACAAAAAGAAUGUUUAAAAAUAUAUGCCUUGCAAAAAAUAAUAUGUAUUCUCAACUUAGAAAGCACAGACAAAUACACAGUGCUUACGGAGACUGUGAAGGAACUAACAGCAUAAAUGAAGAGCUGGGUUUUAGUACAACAGCUUGGUAUGAACUUGUAAGUCUCCAAACUGGUAGGUAGUAGUAAGAUAGUUCAUCCAGUGUUCAUGUUAGUACGAACUGGAUAUAGCACGUUUGGUCCAGCCAGUGCUUCAAAUCUUUUUGAGGGAUUAAAACAUAUGAUUUGCAUUAUGAUCAUGAUCAUCUAACUGUUAUAAUUUGUAGUGAUGACCAGGGAAAAUAAGCACGAUACUGUUUUGUCAUUGAAUGGUGGUGCACACGAAAAAUACACUGAGCAAUGUUAGACAUGCAUAUAUUGGUUCCGUAAUUAUUUUCUGCAUAUAAGCCACAAUGAGUAUAAGUGUUAUUUAUAACAUGGGAUCAGAGCGAACCUAGGAUAUCUCUCUCUAUAGCCUCAUAAUGAAUAUGAGUGCUAUGUGACUGGCGUUGACCAGUGAAUUUCACUGAACAAACUUGUAAUGCGCUACACAGAUGGAACUUUCACUAAAAUACCUAGAAAUACGCUAAUGGGAUUUUAAAUUUUUGCACAUGUCAAAGUUUUCAGUGCAAUACAAGUAAAUUUUCUAACGCGAAACACAAUACUAAAGUAAAUAUUGAAGAGCUGAAAAUUUGUGAGGUUAUUACCAAUUUUAAAUCAUCUUUGAAUAAUCCAGGUGCACGCCCAUAAUCUCCAUUUUUCAUCCUAGAGUCAAUCAUGCCAAAAUCAAAAUAGCUAGUCCUUUCCUCAUCUUGAUGCACAGCUUUGCGAAGCACGUUACACAGCAAGGCAAAAAUUUCUGAUCUUAAAAUGUCGACAAGAACAUUCUUGCACUCAGCAAUAUUCACAUUGCUUGACACUGUUAUAUCAGAAUGCAUCUCCACUUUGUCCCCAACCUGAUAUAAUCAAGAAAAAGAUUGUUAGGAUCUUUUAAGACAAUGAUGUAUCCCCUAAAUAGAUUACUGAAGCCACAGUUUUCCAUGAUUCAAGGAAUUAAACCACAUGGUAUGUGUGGGUACAACUUUAAAUUUGGUGAUAUGAAUUGGUUACAAGGUUUACUUUAGAAAAAAAGCUAAAUCUAAAAUGAAAUGAUUCAAGGAAUUAAGGGAAAAGAAUUGGAACUGUCGAUUAAUAUCAAAUGUUCCAUCCGAUGAGCAUUGCUUUAAAGGGUUCAAACUUGACAAGUUUGAAGCCAAGCAAUACAAUAGGUCGCUGAUUAAAGAGUAUAACAACGAAACAUGAUAUUCUAUGGUUUUCAGUUUUCCCACUUACUGUUCCGGAUUCAGCACAACCAUAAAGGACAUCACGGAUGCAACUCUGAAUGCCAUCACCCUCUUGUACGCCUGGCAAAAGCAUCAGUCCAUUCAAAACAUACUUCCAGUGAGUCCAGCAGUCACUUCUUCCAGUUUGCUUCUCAGACUUGUUAGUGCUACUACAUAAUGUUUUAUGAGGCCGCUCCAUCUCCAUGAUUGACUACAUGGUAAACCAUUACAAUUAGUACCUACCAUAUUAAACCAGAAUAAAUAUUGAAAAAAGAUAAAAUUGUAACAUUACUCCUUUUACAAUGGAAGUAAGCCUUUUACCGAAAAGGCAGUAUUUGUUUGUCAGUCAGCAGGUUAUGUAAAGUUUUGACUCUCCAAUAGUAUCCAAAUUUCUAGCUUAACGAUGUAUAGCCAAAUGGUCUAGCUAAAGCUGAUAAUAAGUUCUAGCACAAAGAGUCACUGCUACACCGAUCAUGGUGCUACAAUUUGAAACUAGUGAAGAUGCACAUUUAUGCAAGCCCUAGACUUCUAAAGAGGCACAAAUAUCUUUAUUGCCUCCAUCAGGCAUACAUAUCUAUAAAAACUGUGGGUCCACUAAUCUAUUCCCAGCACUAACGUCUAAAUUCCAAACGUCUAAAUUCCAACACAGUAAAGAACAGCAGCAAAGGACACACCUGAGGAUCGGGCAUAGUAUUGGAUAACGUGCUGCAUCCAUUUGAUGCUCUGUUAGCUUCACCAAAAGCUUGGGAAGAACUCCUAGACUGUAUUGCUAUAGCGGAAUCCUCUUGAUCAGGUUGUAAAUCCUUAGAAGAGCAAAGCAUGUCACAACUGUCAAUACCGUCAUGUGGACCUGAUCUUUUCCCUUUCUUCUUCUCCCUUGAUAUCAUUUGAUCCCUUAUCCUUUUGGCGGAAUCUUCCGGAAUAUUACGGCAUUGAGGACGAUUUUUCCAGCCAACAAGAUGCCACUUUAAUCUAGUUAUGCCAUGAUAACCCUCUAAGCUGCACCACUUGCACUUCCAGUGUCCUUUUUCUCUGUCAUGAAUCAGUGAAUGUUCCCAUGCAUUAUCCCUCAGCCUUGUCGGGUAAUUGGAAUGCACCUACAAAUUAAUACAUCAAAUCUCAUAAAUACAAAUUAAAUCAUGGAAUGCAUGUGAAAUUGUGCCUUGACUAACAUCAGAUGAGAACUGCAAAGAGAACACUACUACUAUGAUGAAAGAGCUGUGAAAAAUUAACCAUUCCAAAAGUACAAUAAUAUAUCAUUUCAAUAAAGAAAAUAAAUGAAGUUGAGGAGAAAGUUGAACACGUGACACUUAAAAAUAAACUAGGAUUGACUUUGGAGCAGUUUUCUCUACUGAUGUUUGGAAAAGGUCAGAUGCAUUAACCAUAAGUAGUAAAGUUAUUUGCAAUGAGGCAAGGGAACAAGACAUUUUUUUGAUAAACAUGCGUAUGUUAAACAAUGAACAGAUGAGCAAUUGAGCAUGCAGCCUAGAAGGGAAAAGGACCAGAAUCUUGCAUGCAACAGUUCAACACUGAGGUUCAGUUUCUUAACAAGAUGCCAGAGAAAAGAGUUUUUUUGUUAUUAGUUAGUAGACAAACACUCCAGAAAUAACAGUAUGGCUAAAAAGAGAUUUGAAAAUAUGGACGUAUUCUUUACUACCAGGAGACGUUAAUAAAUUUGCAUUUUCAAAAAUCUCCUUAGCAUGUCUUAUUUCGAUUAUCCCAUGUCAUGAGUCAUGACUGAAGCAGUAGUUGCAAAUAUAAUUAAUGAAUUUAUAAAUAGCCACUAUUAACACAAAACUGUCAGCACAAACUAUAAAUCAUAGCCAGCACCAGAAAAUUUUCACAUCUCCAUCUUCCUCAUAAGGGCAUCAAGACCAUUAGCCCUUUGAGCGGUUCUAAUUUCAACCAAACUUGCAUAUAGAGCACAGGAAGCUGCACAGGCAACUUAAAGAACAGAUGAAUAUGGCCUUGGGGAAACAAUAAAACACAGGCAUGCCUUAACCUUGAACAAAUGAAUAUGGCCUUAGGGAAACAAAAAAAGGAGAAUCCAAAUUAAAAAAGAUUACCUCGCUAGAUAAAUCAUGUAUCGGCAGCUGUGGAGGAUUGCCAAAUGCUGGAUUGUUGUUCUGCAGUAUUACACUGGAUUGCCCAAUAAUUUUUGGCUCUGGAGAAGCUUGCUGCCCAGACUUUUUCAUUCUUAGUCUUCUCUUUAUUAGAAUAUGGUGUUUUGCCUUUGCAAAAACUUCCGGAGGAACACUCGGGCACUUAGGAUGACGAAACGCGCCAGCAAGAUGAUAAUGUAGCCUAGAUGUUUUACCAUGUCCAUCCAUGCCACAAUAUCUACACCUCCAAUGCCUCGCGAUUUCAUCAAUAGUAAUUAUAUGCUUCCGAAUGUUGAACCUAGUUUUCCGAGGAUGUUUCAAUAUCUGCAAAUAAGUGUAGAAGCUCAGAACAUAGCAUACCUUUUUACGGCAACAAUAAACAUAGCAUAUUUGCAUCUUCUAUUUAAUAGUAGAAAUUAAAAAGGUGCUAAAACAAAGAAAGGAAGACAAUAUAGAAAAGAUACCUCCUCUUUUUUAUAUGAGGGCCUACAUGGACUACACUAUUUUUGGGUAAUACAAGUACAAGUGUCACGCGCAUUGAUCAAAUUAGGGCUGAAAAUGGAGCGGAAUGUUUCUGCCAGUUCCGCGGAAAUAUGGAAAUCGAUAGGAAAUAUGGAAACAAUUUUUUUCUGACAUAAAUGGAACAGUGUUUUCCGGUGGAACACUAGCAGAAACUGAAUUUUCCGUAUCCGUACAUUCCGAAUUUCUGUUUAUCUGACUAAAUAGCUCAAACUAGUUCGGCCCAACCCAAGCCCAUGCACAUCAACCCCACAGUAAACCUAAAUACCUCUCUCAAUUCCCCUUCAGGGCCCCUAGCGAUCACACAUCGUGCAUGCCUCCAUAUUGCCGCCACACUGUGUCCUCCAAGGAAAUGGAACAGUGUUUUCCGGUGUGAAAGCACUAGUGCUCUUCAUUCGUGGCCCAUCAUUCGCACCCAGACGGAUCCAAGGGGGGGCGCCGGGGGGCUCUGCCCCCGCCCCCCCAAAGAAAUUUCAUUUUAGUUAAUAGUUACUAAUUAGCUCAUUCAAAAUCACUUUAAAAUAGGUGAAGUUUCUAAUUUCGCCCCCCUCAUGUCAAAUUCCUGGCUCCGUCCCUGUUCGCCCCUCUGACGCCCUCCCCCUACCCCUUGACUUCUGUGUUCCUGCAAGCAUUCACUUUCUUAUCCGUGCCCGUUCAGUAUUCGAUAUGUACUUGUUUCCGACAGUAUCUGCUUCCCUAUUUGUUUCCGAUAUUUCCAUAUUCACCUUUGCUUCCGCUAAAAAAUAAAGGCACAAAUGCGAUAGCACCCAGUUCCUUACUUUUUCAGCCAUAGUCAACAUAUGGUCAAAACAUGUAUCAUGAAAAGGUGAAUCUUCUCCUUUAUGUGUGUCCAUCUAAUAUUAUCGAGGAUGGUAUGCUACUUGACACUUCUACCCUUUGUAUUCUUAUUAUUGGCAAGCUAAGUGACAUGGGUGCAACGGAGGAAGUCAUGGAAGCCAAAAAGGAAGAAAUUGAUCGAAGAGAAAAAAAACAAAUAACUCUCGGAAGUCCCAGACCCCAUGUCGGAACCUCCAGGUCUACCCAGCAACGAAGACAGAGUUCCAAUCUGAAACAGUGAUGUCUUACCACAUAUGGUUAGGCUACGUUGAGCUUUGCUCCUUCCCCCAAUAUCAAGGCCGAGCAUCCAAAUGAAGUCAAUUCAAAAAAUAAAUGGCUAGCCCAGACAACUAGAAAUUGCCAUUCCUAUGAUUCGCUGAGGGACCCUUUAAUUUAAAUUUAUUAUGUGGGGCCAUCAAAACAUUCAUAUUUUCCCUUCUGCACUCAAAUAUGCCAAUAUCCAGGUGCAACUAGUUCCUUCAAGGACAAAUUUCAAUAUCUCCAUUGAACUAUGGCUCCAAUCAGCAGGGAUGUUGGAUCGUAAUCAGUUUGUAUGUAUAUAUAAGCAUAGUUUACAAUGAAGUUAAGUAAUCCCUCUGAUCCUAAAUUCUCGACUCAAAUUUGCCCAAAUAUGGAUGUAUCUAUUCUUAUAAAGCAUCUAGAUACAUGUAAUAUUUCGACAACAAUUUAGGAUCGGAGGGAGUAAUUAAUAGGGGUAUGGACAGCUACCCUGGCUGCACUUGAACACAGGGUGUACAAUCCACUGUUGCUCUCUACAUAGCCAAAAAUUAAAUUAAAUAAUACAUAUAAAAGAGCUGCAUGUUGGACAUCCAUCCAUUUUUAAAUGAGUUGUGUGACAUCAUCGCAAGACUGUACUAGAGGGCUCUUAACAAAGACAACAAUGUUUUUUGCAAAUACUAUAAACACCACAAAAAGAACUGCAUGCUGGACAUCCAUCCAUUUUCAAAUGAGUUGUGUGACAUGAUCGGAAGA